AGCUACUUGUCUUGUGUAUUGACUGACUAAUUGUAGUUAGCAUGGCACGUCAGGCAGACCGUCUUGCUAAGAUUGGGCUGGAGGGCUUUGCAGCCAUAGAUGAGGCCAAGAGGCGGCCACCAGUUAUGAAGGUUCCCUAUGCUCAUCCCACAUAUUACUAUGCAAACCAAAUUCCUGCAACAGCAGUUAUCGACAGCAACGAGGCAGCUCGACGCUACAAGGGGAGGGUUUAUAUCGAUUAUCCAAAGGGGAAACCAGUUCCAUUUUAAAGACCCAGUGAUUAAUCACUUUGCUUUCUUGUAUGCAUAAUCUCCUCCACUUGUGUUACCUUUAGUCCUGUACGAUAUUCUCCCUCUGCUAAACGUAGACGAGGAGCUUCUCUUACUUCUUCAAAUAAAAUUUCUGUGAUUUAUAUAUCAUAAUUUUCUAUUUGGCUGGUCAAGUAUGUAUUGUCAUAAUUAUCUUUCUGACUUCCUAAUUAUCACCUGAUUCACCUCUUACUUAGCAUGGAAUUGAAAGAUACACAAGUAAUUUUCUGUUGAAAUGCUUUGAAGCUCUUCAAGCUGUGAUUUCACCGACUUAUUUCGGAACUGUACAGAGCUCAAUGAUGAGCCGUGGGAAGCGUCUCUGAUUAUUGCACUGUAAGCACGAGUGUACGUAUGAAUAUAAACAGCAGAUCUGCUCCGUUAUUGCCAUAUGCUUAAAUAGAUCGCAGGAUCCGCAAACCACAGGUGAUGACAAGCUUCUUAAUAACUAUUAGAAAAUAAUAUAAAUCAUAUCUUGGACCCUCAUCUAACAACUUAAAUUUUUGGGUUGAGAUGGUUUUUUGAUAUGGUAUCAAAGCCUUGAUAACCAAGUAGUCAUAAGUUCAAAUCUCAUCAUUCUUAUUUAUUUAAUAAAAAUUAAGCACAGGGUAAAGUGGGUCUGUGCAAGUUUCAAACCUAAAAGGCUUUCACUCGAGGAGAUGUGUUAAAGAAUAAUAUAAAUCAUAUCUUAAGACCUCACCUAAUAAAUUAAAUUUUUGAAUUAAGAUGGUUCUUUACAAUAACUUCUAUUCUGACUUCAAUAGUGGAUUUAAGGAUAGAAAACCUGUAGGUUUGUGGUCAAGGAGGUUGGCUCUCUUCCUUAUAUUUUUUAUUUCAAACUUUAAUAACAAUACUCAUAUAAAUUUAUUUUUUCUGAAUGAAACUUGUUAAUACAAGAGUGUUAUUUUGAUGAAAAAGAAAAAUCUUAUUUUUAUCCCAUCACACCCCACCUAAGAAAUUAUGUAAUUAGUUAUUUCUAUAAGCUGUUCCAGAGAAUAUAGUCUUAAAUCAUUAUAUUUUACGACUCAUGAUUGUUUUUUUAAUAUAGCUGGGCUAAGAAAGAAAAAUAAACGGAGUUCUAUCUGCAUUUACAAUAGAAUUUUACAAUAGUGAACAAUAUAUCUAGGAAUAUCAGCGAUGAUGACCAUAGAUGGAUCAUGUGUGAAUUCUUAGCAAAUCAUUACUUGUAUAACCAAAAUUUCCUUCACAGCUCUUUUACUAAGCUGAUUGUCGAUGAAAAGUAAAGGAAAAGCAUGAUUCCCAAUCCGAGCUAUGUGAGCAAGUGUAUCUAGUAAAAAUAUCUCAUCUCCCAAGAAAACGAGAUUAGUAAGCCUCCCUUUAAAGCUUUGCUUUGCACACCUUUUCUUGAUCUUUCCCAAUCCUUCAUUAUAAAUGGGACCCAUCAAAAACAUGAGAUGUGCUUUAACCUCCUCCAUAUUUCAUCUUAGCCUAGAAGGAUAAACAAGAAUAUUAUUGCUUCUGAAACAUAACGAUUGCAAGCAUCGCCUUUCGGUGAACUUUUGAUGACAUGAAACUGCCACAAAUUGGGUCCUAUUCCGAGUGAGUUUUCUUUUUCUGCUCUGUUAUCGCAUAUAUACAACUGAAAUCUUUAAGUCCUCUUCAGGGUACCCCUGAAAGAAAAUGGUCUAUCAUGGAAAGUCCUGAGGAAUCUGAGGCAUAUAAUAUGAGAUAUAUAUCGUCCCAAGAUCAUAAAAAUGAUAAAUCUUAAUCUUAUCAGGUGUAGCCAUGAAAUGGGAUCAGAACCUAUUUUCCUAAUUUUAUUAACUAAAGGGAAAGCCACAACCAAGUCUCUGUACUAUAUGAUUGUCCAUUAAUACAGAAUCUAGCACAUCCUUGAGUAGCUAAAGAAAGCUAGAAUAAAGUACCUCUAGCAACAUCUUCACUGUUUAUUUUCUAAUAGUUUUGUUUUGUUAAAUCGCACUUGAAAAUACAGAACCUGUUCUUGAUAUUUCAUGGACAAUAUUUACUCUAGUUGUGCAAGUAACGUAUACACAAAUACCUGUAAUAUUGCAUCAAAAUUCAAACUAACAACAGUAUGUGUAUACUUGUGGAUAUGGAAUCAGCCAGAAGUGGAGAACCCCAUAAAUCUUGAAAACCUCUGUUGAUUGUGAUGGGUCCAAAAAGCAGAAAGCAAGUUACAAGCUGCCUGCUUUCUGCUAAUAUAUAUAAUGCUGCAUAUAUGACCUAUUUUGUACCAAGGCAAACCAUACAGUUUUAAUUGUUCUUUGAGUUAUAGUGUUAAUUUCACAUAUGGCACGUCAGGUAGAUCGUCUCACAAGGAUUGGAAUGGAAGGCUUUGCUCUGAUUGAGAAUAGUUAUGGCUGGCCUGGAAGGUCUGGAAGACUCCCCUCAACUCAGGUACAGCAAAAUCAUCAUCACUAUCAUCAUCAUCAUCAUCAUCGUCAAUACCAAGAUCAGCAAACAUUGGUUUAUCAGGGAACUCAAAUUACCACGGUGAGGAUGCCUGUGAUCAUUAGCAAUGAGGUAGUUCAAUACUAUGGUAACAUGGUGAAGAAGCCUGUUAUUCCUAGCAAUGAGGCAGCUCAAUAUCAAGGGGGUGUGGUGAAAGAGCCUGUUAUCACUAGCGAUGAGGCAGCUCAAUAGGAUGGUAGAAAGAAACGAUUUCGUUUAGAUUAUUAGGUUUCAUGAAUUUACUGAACAUGCUUAAUGUCAUGUAUGAGUAAUCUGAGUCACUUGGUUCUUAAAUCUCCUGGUUUCUUACUCAUAGAUAAAGCAACUUGGUCUGCUAAAGAACCUUGUAAAUUUUAUCUUUAGAGCUCCUGUUGUCACGCAGUUUUCUUAUCUAUAACGUAAUCAGCUUUACUGUAACUCUUUAUGUCUCUCUCUCUCUCUCUAUUUUUGUGUGUGGGUUGUGAUGAUCUUUCUUACUUCUGAUAAGCCAAAUGAUUCUCAAAGCACACCUUGGAAAACAACAGCUAAGGCAAGGCGAAAUGAAAGCUAAAGCUAGGAAUUAAAGAACAAAACAACAUAGAAUAUGAAGGAAAAAAUGAAUAAAAAAACGAAACAACAGAAUUAAAAAAAUAAAAAAUUAAAACAAAAGGAAAUUAGCCAAAAACAAUUGGAAGAAAAUUACUAUGGUAGGAGUUUAUGUUAAAAGAAAGAUAGGUGUUGUAUAAUAUCAAAAAUAGUAAUGCAAAGUCAAAACUCAAUAAGAAGAAGAAGAUUGAGAGAAACGUAUACUUUUAUUAAGUGUUUCUCUCUAAACUCUUUUAGUUAUUCUCUCUGCUUUUAUUCUUUUUAAAAAUGCUAAAUUACAAGUCUUUUAUAGGUAUAAAGUCCUAGAUAAUCAAGGAAUUAAACUAAUACAAGGAAAUUCUAAUAUGAACAAAAAUUGUAUUCUGCCUACUAGCUAAAUCAGUCGACUAGUUCCCAACCAGUGGAUCGGUUCCUCUAUUCUUCAUAAAAACAAGAAAUCGAGUUCAAUUUUCAAAACCCCUUUCUAAACUUGAUUUCUUCAUAACUCGCACAAAUCUCUUAUUUUGGUAAAAACAUCAUAUUCAACUGGUUUUGUGAAAAUAUCUGCAACUUGCUCUUGUGUCUUUACAUACUUGGCUUCAACUUCUUUGUUUGUAAUGCAAUCUCUUAGGUAAUGAAAUCUUGUGUCAAUGUACUUAUUUCUGUCAUGAAAAACUUGAGUUUUAGCUAAGGCAAUAGCUAAUGAGUUGUCCACAUAAAUCUAUGUAGACUUCUCUUAUGGGAUCCGUAAUACUUUCAGUAAUCUUAUUAGCUAUAUGGAAUGACAAACACAUGAUGUAGUAGUUAUAUAUUUAGUUUCACAUGUUGAUAAAGUGACUAUAGAUUGCUUUUUUAAACACCAUGUGAAUGUUGUGUCUUCCAUGUAGAAAACAAAACCAAUAGUGCUCUUUUUAUCAUCCAUAUCUCUAGCUCAAUCACUAUCAUUGCAACCCACAAUAUCAAAGCUAUUAGAAUAUCCAUAAAACAAGCCAAAAUCAACAGUACCUUUGAUAUACCGAAGAACUCACUUCAAAGCUUUGAAGUGUGUCAUAGUUGGUGUAUCCAUAGACCUACUCCCAAGUUCUACUCCAAAAAGAACAUAUGAACAAGUGCAUGUCAAAUAUCUCAAACUCCCAACUAGGCUUUUGAAUGUUGUAGAGUUUAUCUUCUCCUCUUCAUCAUUCUCUAUUAUCUUCACUCCACACUCAACUAGAAUAUUCUUUUUCGCACAAUCUUUCAUCUUGAACUUCUUGAGAAUCUCUUGGCUUACAAAGAUUCCAUCUUCUCCUUGUUUGAUCUCAAUCCCUAAGUAAUAUGUCAUAAGACCAAUGUCUAUCAUUUCAAACGCCUUGAUCAUUGUUUGCUUGAAGUCUUCAAACAUCUUUGGAUUAUUUCCUAUAAAGAUUAAGUCAUCCACAUACAAACAUAUAAUAAGAGUAUCACCACUCUCUUUGAUCUUUACAUAGAUAGCAUAUUCAUAGGAACAUUUAACAAAUGCAUUCUUUAAGAAAAAGCCAUCAAAGUGACUAUAGCAAGCCCUUGGGGUUUGCUUCAAUCCAUAUAAGACUUUGUUCAACUUUAGUACCUUGUCUUUAUGUCCCUUCACUUCAUAACUCAUAAGUUGCUUAAUGUAGACCUUCUUCUCAAGAAAACCAUUAAGAAAGGCUGAUUUGACAUCCAUUUGAUAGAUUCUCCAUCUAUAUUGGGUAGCUUUGGCAACGAUUAAUUGAACGGUCUCCAAUCUAGCAACGAGAGCUAAAACCUCAUCAUAGUCAAUCUCAUACUUUUAGCUUUCGCCUUUUUUCCACUAACCUUUCUUUGUACCUCUCCAUUUCUCCUUCGGCAUUCUUCUUUUCUUUAUAGAUCCACUUGACACCUAUUAGCUUCUUUCCAUUUGGUCUACGAACCAAUUUCUAUGUGUCAUUCUUCUUAAUUGAUGCAAGCUUCUCAUCCAUAGCGAUUCUUCAUUUUUCAUCCUUUAUUACUUCUUCAAACAUUAUAGGAUCACUUGUAGCAAGGUGAUAAUAUAGUGUUACAUCAUCAUCAAUAGGAGUAGUUACCUCAUAUAGCUCAUCAAGGCUCCACAUUCUUUUUGGUGGACUUGAUGGGUUGCCACUACUUGAACUUUCAUUAGAAAAAAAAAAAGAAAAGAGAUAAAGGUAAAGAUGACACCAUUGGUGAUUAUGGAGGUGUAGUUUGUUCUUGAUGAUCUUCAUAUCUCUCCUUCCCUUUAUCAGAACAGACAAGGCUUCAUCUUCUUCUUUCUUCUUCUUUUAUCUUCUCUCACAGGGCCAUUUCUUUUUCUUUCUCUUCUCUUCUCUCUAUCUCUCCUUCUUAGCUAAAAACAAGCAUUCUAUUAUCUUCUCAUCCUCAAGUACGUUGUCUUUUUUCAUUUUCUUUGGGUUUAAUAACAAUCUAUUUUCUUUUGUUUUGUUUUUCUUUUUUUUUUCCUUUUAAUUAUCAGUCGAAAUUAAGCAUACCAUUAAGGUUGGAAUUUUUCAUUCUUUUCUCUUCCCCUUUUUAUGUUUUUUGCAAUAUUUUUGUUUUUUGUCAUUAUUUUUGUUCAAUUUUGUGUUCUUAAUAAUUUUAUGAAUUAAUAAAUGUGUUGAAUUUUAGUUGUUAUUGAAAUAUUGCAUUAUUUUGUUGAAUUUUAGCUAUUUUUUUUUCAAAUUUGUUGUUCAAUUUUAAUUAAAUGUGUAGGAUUAAUUUUAAUUAUUAUUUUGUAUUUAUUCCAUAUAGAAUAAUUUUUUGUAAAUUUAGGAUUAAAAAUAUUAUAACUUAGAAAUAAUUGUGUUGAAUUUUAGUUGUUAUUAUAAUAUUUUUUGCAUUAUUUUGUUGAAUUUUAGUUGUUUUUCUUUUCAAUUUUGUUGUUCAAUUUCAAUUAAAUGUGUAGGAUUAAUUUUAAUUUUUGUAAAUUUGAAAUAUUUUUUUUUAAAUUUAGGAUUAAAAAUAUUAUCAUGUAGAAAAUGAAAAUUUUCUAUGAAAUUUAAUUAUGCUAAAUUGUUAGAAGAAAUUGAAUAAAAAUACCAGGCCUAGUGGAAGAAAUAUGUUGUGUAUUUGUAGGUUUAAAACUUUUGGGUAGUCUUCUGUGUAGGGGAGGUGCUGCCAAUUGUUUUUAAAAAAAAUACGAAUCAUUUAAUUUUUUUUAUUCAUUAAUUUGUGUAGAUGCCUAUAGAAAAGUCUAAUGCACGUCAUGAGGACAAGAUUGCUGCUAGUUCUUCUAGUAGCGAUGCUGACGACCACGAGUCAUUAGGUGCCAAUAAAAAAUAGGAACUUGAGGCACAUGCAUCAACUCACGACGCGGGCUUGUCGAGUGCAAUGUUGCAACGUCGAGGGGGGGUCCCUUCACAAUGGGAUCCAUUUACUUGCAAGUAUGAGGCCUAGUGGAAGGACGACCUUUCAAUGUAAGUUUUGCUUUCGCAAUGACAUGUUUAAUAAAUUUUCAAAAAAUAAUUUCAUUUAAUGAAUGCAAUUUCAGGUUUAUAAAUAUUGAGGCUGCGAGAACAAUAACAUCGAUCUAAAAUCAUCGAUAGAAAUUUCAUUGUUUUAAUGGAGCUAGGUUUCCAAACAUCCUGAAUGGAAACUGCAGCUCAUUGCAUGAUUUUCAAGGUUCAAGGUUGGUAGUAACUUAAAUAUUUUUUUAUGUUAAUUUGGUUAGUUUAUUGAAAUUAUUGAAUUUUUUCUGAGAGAGUUGGAAAAGCAUUACUGCAAAUAUCACUUCUACUAUUAACUCAUCGACGAAAUUACAGAUGGUAUUCUAUCGGUGAUAUGUUAUAUUUAUCGAUGGAUAUACCGAUGCACAAAUAAAAACACUGAUGACAUUGCAUACAGUAUUCCUGUUUGUGAUAUGUUAAAUUUACCAAUGGAGAUACUGACGGAAUAAAACAGAUAAUUUUUUUUUGGCGUGCUUUGUUUGUCUAUAAAUUCAUUGGUAUAUUUAUUACCGAUGGACUCACCAACAAACCAUAAAUUAUUGGCGAGAGUUUUUUCGAUGGACUGUCUCCAUCCGUGAGCCCGUUGACAAUAUACAUACCAAUGGACUGUGAGUGUGAAUACUGACAAAAAUUUCUGUUAGUAAAAUUGUUAAAUCUAGUAGUGAUUGCAUGAUCCACCGCUAGAAGUGAUGAGUACAAGUUAUGACCAUUUUAAGUUGUUGUUUCUGGUCUGACAUGACUAGACCUUCUCUUGGACCUAGACUUGUCCUACUAGUCUAUAAAUAUAUAUGUUAGAACAUCCAUAUAAUCUGUCUAGAGCAGAUACUCAUCUAAUUGUGGCAGACCCACAUAUGAUAGCUCAGAAUCACCUGUUAUUGCAAGCCCAACUACAUCAUUAAUGGUUUCUCAAGGUAAGUCAUGAGGAAUUUGAAGCAUAUAAAAUGAUAUAACUUGUCCCAAUAUCAUAAAAAUGUUAAAAAAAUGUGAGUAUAUGAACCCAUGAAGCGGGAUCAGAAUCUAUUUUCCUAUUGUUAUUAACAAAACGGAAAGCCAUAACUAACUGUUUGUACUAUAAUAUUGGGAGUGAGAGGUACAAUGUCCAGAAUGCUUCUAAGGAUAACCAUAUGUCCAUAUCCAUAAGAUCUCAAUCGAUUGCCCCUUACUACAGAAUCUAGCACAUCCUUAAGUAAAUAAAGAAAGCUAGAAUAAAGUGCCUUCACUGAUUAUUUAGCAUUACUGAGCAGGCCAAGUCUUCACUGCUUAUUUCCUAAUAAUUCCUUAUUGUGGAAUUGCACUUACAAAUAAAGAACUUGUUAUUGAUAUUUUCGUACAGAAUUUCUCUCUCGAUUAGUCGGUCAAUAAUGUAACUUCGUUUAUUCGGAUUUGAGGCCGGCCAUGAGAUGGAGAGGUUGUGUCACAUUAAUUAUGUCAUGUUAUAUGGAAUCAGAUUCACCAUUAUUAAACUAAAGCGUCUCAUCGAUUCUACGAAACUUGUCGAAAGGAAUCAUUUGUUCAAUAAUUGAAUGCGAUUUUUAUCGGGUUCACCUGACGAUCCAACCUCCAUCCACAAAUCCGGAUCGAAUUCCGAAUGGGUCAAAAUAUCGUCCCCGUAUCUCUCCCUCAACCGAUUAUUAUAGGUCUCCUGAAAAUAAAAAAAGUAAUCAUCAUAUUCAAUUCAAUAAACAUAAUAACUUACAAAAUAAAAUGGUUGAACAAACAUACCAUGAAAUGUUGAGCACGGUUAUCAACGAACUGUUGCGCCCCCUUUUGGCGGUCUUGACUCCGCACGUGCGUCUCCACAAACAGCUCCAUCGGGCUUGGCUCACGUCCAAGAGACGUAGCCUAUAAUGAAAAAAGAUUUAUUAACAACUUAAUUUAACGAUAUAUUUCAUUUAAAUUAAUCUUACCAUCCGUUUCGCAUGUGUAGCAAACGGAACGGAGCCGCCAGUGUGCGUUGUUACUGAGCCAUGAAUUGGCCGAUUCCGGUUGCCAACACCGGACUGUGAGCGUCGUGUAAACCGCUCAGACAUCACGUGCUCAAGAUAGUGCGGCCAUAUAUCUUUUGGGAUGUAUAUCGGUUUGAAAUUCCUCCAAACCGUAACAUCGUUCCAGCCUUGGAAACCCCUAUCUCUAGCGGUUUUUUUUGCCCUUUUUUGUGCUUCAUACCAAAAAUCACGCAACCAAAAAUUACAUUUCGAAAGAUAAAUUUUUGUCUAAAAAACAUCUUGUAUUGUUUUCGAUGUUACCUAGUUGCCGCGUGAUUUUCCCACACCCUCCUCGCAACAGUGUUAUGCUCACUGUCCCAGCAGAAUUUGUCCUGUGUAUAAAUAAUUAAUUUUAAAUAAAAAUAAUAAUUUAUUUACAAUUAUAUUAAUAAUUUAUUAGAAAUAAGCUGAAAAUUAUAAAUUAACACCAACCUCAAAUUUGUCAAACCAUGCAUUGAUUUGAGGCAUCCAUUCAGGAUGCUUGGAUAUCUGACUCCAUUGAAACAAUGGAAUCUUCAUCGACGAUUUAAACGCCGAUGAUAUUACUCGGGCAGCCUCAAUGUUUGUGAACCUGAAAAUAAAUGAAAUAAAUUCAAUAGUGAUUACUUCAUAAGUUAUGUUGUAAUUUUUUUUAAAAAAAAAAACUAAAACCUUAACAAACUUACAUUGAAAGGUCGUCCUUCCACUGUGCCUCGUACUUGCGGGUAAAUUGAUUCCGCUGCGAAGGCACGCCGCCUCUGCCCUGUGAAGUAGCGCUGGAAGAGGCAGCAUUGGUUGACGACGCAGGUGGUGUAGGUGCCUCUUCUUGAGAGGCACCUAAGGAAAUAUCAUCCUCGCUGCUAGACGAACUAGUUGCGACCAUACGUGAGCGACCAGCUUUGGUUUUCAUUCUACGCACCUACACAAUUUUAUACAAAUAAUUAUAUAAUUAAAUUCAAAUGUUAAAAAAAAAUUCGACAGCAUCUCCCCUAUACUGGAUACUACCCAAAUCUACAAACCUGCACAUAUUAACAAUAGCCACAACCAAUUGACCCAAUCUAUACUAACUAUUCCAACAUAUUCAAUUACUAAUCCUAAGGUAAUUCAACAUUAAGAAUUACAAUUCAACAAAUUAUUCAAUAAUUAUGCCAAUACAACAAUAAAAUAUAUUCAAUAAAUAAAUAAAAACUCUAGACUAACAAUUAAAAUUAAUGGAAAAAAUUAAACAUAAAUCAUGCAAUAAUAGAGUAAAAUUAACAAUUAUUUCAAAAUAUUCAAUUACUAAUACUAAGGUAAAUUCAACAUUAACAAUUACAAUUCAAAAAAUUAUUCAAUAAUUAUGCCAAUACAACAAAACAAUAAAUUCAAAAAAAACUCUAGACUAACAAUCAAAAUAAAUGGAAAAACUUAAACACAAAUUAACUAAUAAUAAUUAUGCCAACACAACAAUAAAAAAUAUUCAAAAAAUUCAAAAAAAAAACUAUAGACUUUAGGAAUCAAAUAUGCUUACUUUAAUAAUGUGUUGAAUUCAAUACUUUAUCUACAUUACAAAAAAUACACCAAAACAAAAAACAUAACAAAAAAAAAUAGCAAAAAAAAAACCCCUAAAGUAAAAUGAAAUAGAAGACACACAUACCUUUUAAACUGAUGAAGAUUCACAAGAAAACUUGCUAGAGAUGGUAGGUGAAAGCUUUGAAGAAUGGAGAGGAAAAAAAUCGAAAUUUAAGGUGAAAAACGGAGGAGAAGAAAAAAUGAACUGAAGGGGCGGUCGCUGGAACUUAUAUGGCAGUUUUACCGACGGAUUCACCGAGGGAUAUAAAAUUAAUUAUUAUUUUAAUUUAUUCUGUCAGUGAAGUGUCAAAAAUCCGUCGGUAAUUUUUAAAUUUCGCACCAAAAUUUUUAAUGACCCUCCAUAUUUUUCGUGGUCUGUCGGUAAUUUCGUCGGCAAGAUGACGCGGUCAGAGAUGCAUUUAAUGCACAAUCUUUUGGAAUUCGCACAGUCCGUCGGCAAUUUUGUCGGUAAAAUUGACCUGCCGACAACUUACCGACGGACUUAUAUCCGUCGGUAUUGUCGUCAGUGAUUGUGGCAUUUCAAGUAAUUAUUUUCGAACUCUCUGUGAAAUGCCGACGGACUUAUUCUGUUAGUAUGGACGUCGGUGAUUGUGGCAUUUCAAGUAAUUAUUUCAAGUAAUAAAUAUUUCAUGUUACAAAAUAUAUCAUUCAUAAUCUAAAUUACAUGAAAAAAGGGGUUUUACACAGGGCUUCAUUUUGAUAGUUAGUCAGAAUUUUCUUCUUCUUUGUCCUCAAUUGAAUAGUCAUCACCUUUAUCGCAAUCUUCAAUAUGGAUAUCAUCUUCUUCAUCGACAUUUGCUUGUCCGCUAGAGCUCAAAACAGCAUUCAACUCCUCUACGUGAACAUCAACAAGACUAUCAUCGAAAACAUGAAAAUUUGAAUUUUCUUCCAAUUCAAUCGAAUGAGCAACUCAAUAUGGUUCAACCACCUCACUAACUUGAAAGACUUCAUCUCGCACACUUGUGUCUUCGUUCUCAUCCUGAACAACCUCGACACGACCCCGGGGUUUUGUUUUUAAAACGGACAACCAAUCCACUCUUGAUCGAUCCUUUCUAAAUGAAGGGGUGUAUGUGUAAUAAACUUGUUGACAUUGCUUUGCGAAAACAAAGACAUCGUUUUUGUUGCGGAGUCUAGCUUUUGAGUUGAUUUCGACCAGACCAUAGUGCGGAUCAACUCUGAUUCCUCUGUCAGUCGUGUCAUACCAAUAACAUUUGAAUAAAAACACUUUAUUCUACUCGUUAUGAUAUUGCAGUUCGACGACCUCUUCUAAUCUACCAUAGUAGUCAACUUCUAACUCACUACUAGUGGAUCCCUUAACACAAACACCGCUGUUGUAUGUCUUUCUUCCUUGCCCGUAUUCUUCAGUAUGGAAAACAUAUCCAUUGACAAAAUACCCGUUGUAGCACUUACAUUUUCUUUCAGGCCCCAGGCUUAGUGAAGACAAUGACUUAGGCGCACUCCUUCCCAUUUGAUAAACCUUGUAUGUAAUGUACAUCAAUAAAUAGUAAAUGAACGAGAAUCUCAUAAUGACAUGCAUACGUACAGUAAUUUUGCAAGUUAGAAUGAGUUUGUGAUAGUGCUUACAUGUGUUCUAGACCACGUGACAAAGUGUUCAUCUUGUAAUUGAAAGAUCUGGGAUUCGGUCAGCUAUGAGUUAUUGGAGAGCAAAUAUUGUCGAUGUUGCCUGCAAGUGAUAAUGAGUGUAUGAUAUUAUAAUAAAUAAUUAAUAGUAUAUUACUAACAAAGUUUAAUUACUAUACACAUAUAUAUAUAUAAACCUUACUGAAUAAAAGGUCUCAGCUCAUCACAGUUAAAUAUAACAUAUUUGUGUGCUUAUUUGAACUCUAUUUCCGACAAAUAUCUUCCUCUUACGCCAUUUUUAGGUGUGGGUCGUCCAGUGUUAGAGAAUAUUGACAAGUUUCCACUGGAAGGCACUUCACCGCCAUCAUCAUACCGUGGAACGCGAUUGAUUCUCAUUCUUAGAUGAGGUUCGAAAUAGUACGAUAUAAAUGUUGAGAUCUCCUCAACAAUAUAGGCCUCACAUAUCGAAGCCUCAACGUGCGCCUUGUUCUUAACCUUUUUCUUGAGAUUAAACAAGUACCUGCAUUGAAUUAAUCAAGUAUUUUCAAUUAAGAAAAACAUAGAAAAUACUUUUAUAUAUGAAUUACAUUGCAACUGUAAUAUCUAACAGUUCGAAUGGGUACAUCCAUCUAUAUUGGACCGGUCCUCCAGCUUUUGCCUAGAACGGUAGAUGUAUAGGGAGAUGCUCCAUUGAGUCAAAAAAUGAUGGAGGGAAUAUCAUCUCAAGUUUGCAUAGUGUCUCAACGAUAUUCGUUUGAAGCCUCUCAAUGUGCUCAACAUUCAACUUGCUGGAGCAUAUAUCUCUGAAGAAAUGACUGAUCUCCGUAAGUGCAUCUCAUAUUCCCUUUGGCAACAAAUCACGAAAAGCUAAUGGGAUGAGUGUUUGCAUAAACACGUGGCAGUCAUGACUCUUCAUUCCAUACAAUCUGCAGUCCUCUAUAUUAACCAGCCUUGAUAUGUUUGAUGCAUGUCCAUCUAGAAAACGUAGACUCUUAAGCCAUUUAUAGACUAGCAGUUGUGCGUUUUUCUCUAACACGAAGCUUGCUCUUGGUUUUGCGACCUGUGACUCAUCAUAAAACAACUCCAUAUUUUUACGGUUACAGUAUAAAGCUAUAUCCAAUCUAGCCUUGAUGUUGUCCUUUGUCUUCCCCUUCACAUCCAUGACGGUGUUGAAAAUGUUCUCAAACACGUUCUUUUCGAUGUGCAUGACGUCAAGGUUAUUGCGGAGCAUAUUGGUCUUCCAAUAAGCAAGCUCCCAAAAGAUACUUCGCUUUACCCAAUUAUGGGUCAAACCAAAACCAGGAAACUUUUGCUUACCUGAUUGAAGGCCAAACACAAUGUCACCGUACUCUGAUACAACAUCAUGCAAUUCUUCACCAGAAAGACGCGGGGAUGCAACAUCUUUUUCAACUCUGCCAACAAAGAAAUCUUUUCUGUUCUUUCUAUACCUGUGAUUAAGUGGCAAGAAACGACGGUGACAGUAAAAAAAAGAAGCUUUACCUCCGUUUGCUAGCGUGAAUGCCUUGUUGUUUUCCAUGCAGUAUGGACAUGCGAGUUUCUCAUGCGUGCUCCAACCAGAAAGCAUUCUAUAAGCUGGAAAAUCAUUGAUAGUCCACAUCAAAGCAGCCCUCAUAAGGAAAUUUUGUUUCCUCGAUAUAUCAUAAGUCAGAGCUCUGGAGGACCACAACUGCGCCAACUCAUCAAUCAACGAUCGAAGACAAACAUCUAUAUUCCGCCCUGGGCUGCUUGGACCGGGUAUGACAGUAGAUAAAAACAUGAACUCCGGCCUCAUACACAUUCCCGGUGGCAAGUUAUAAACUGUGAGUAUGACCGGCCAACAAGAAUAAGGAGCAGCAAAUGACCCAAAUGGGUUGAAUCCGUCUGUACACAACCGAAGACGCACAUUCCUUGAUUCAGCUGAAAAGUGAGGAUGAAGACUGUUAAAGCAUUUCCAUGCUUCGCCAUCAGAAGGAUGCACCAUCACUCUAUCAACCGCAUUAUGUGCUUGGUGCCAUGUCAUGUGCUCAGCAGUCCUUGGUGACAUGAAUAACCUCUACAGUCUAGGUGUGAUCGGGAAGUAUCUAAGUUUUUUAUAUGCCACUAGAGUCUUUCCCCUGCCAGUUCUCGGUUUGUAACGGGAAUGCCCGCAUGUCAUGCACUCUGUCCUCUCAGCAUUUUCAAGGUAGUAUAACAUGCAGAAGUUAGGGCACAUGUCAAUUUUCUGGUAUCCUAAACCGAGGGGUUUCAUCAUGGACUUCGCAGCAUAGAAGUUCUCUUUCAGCCUGUCCCCUUCAAGUAAAAUUCUUCUCACCCAUUCAAUAAUGUUGUCAUACCCGACCUCACUCAACCCGUGAUCUGACUUGAUGGUGAACACCUGUGCUAGGGCCGAUAAUUUACUGUGGUUCGUGCAGCCAUCCCAUAAUGGUUCAUCAGAAUCUUUCAACAAAUCAAAAAACCUAGCUGCAUCUGCAUUAGGUUCUUCUUCUACGAUUCGACAUUGACUGACAUUACCUUGAUUCAUUCUCAUUGCAUCCAUAACUAUAUUUAUGUAAGGAUUAGUGUUGUCAUUUGCCGCUUCAUGCACGUUGCUAGCACUAGAAGUAGACCCAACCACCGUUUCUCCCAUUCUCCUCUUACUAACAAAUACUUCUCCAUGUGCAUACCAACACUGGUAAUUCUCCAUAAACCCUUUGUGUAGAAGAUGCAUCAUUACAACAUCUGGAUGCAGAUAUUUUUUAUUUUGACACUUCCUGCAUGGACACCUAAUACCGCCUCUAGUAAAAUUUAUCGGAAUAGAUGUUGCGAAAUUAAUAAAACCUUGAACCCCGUUACAAUAAUCAAUCCUCCGCAAUCCUUGGGGUGAAUCUCAAUACAUCCAUGAACGAUCAUCCAUGACUUAUAUCGAACCUCUAUAAAAUUAUGAUGACAUCAUGUAUUAAUUAACUAAGUUAGGUAAAUAAACUUGUAAAAAUAUUACUUUACCUCGAGAUUAUCCAACAAACCAAUCACAACUUCUCAUAAAUAUUAAAUAUUCAUUAUCAUUUAUCAACGUCCAUACAAAUUAAUAUAUAUAAAUUUACAGAAAUUACCACUCUGCAAUACCAUUAAUAAAACUUUAAACAGACCCAUUAAGCAAGCUAUUAAUUAUUUCAAAACAACACAUGUAAUUCAGUAAUUCCAUAAAGUUUUAACAAUUUACAAACAAAUACAAUCUUACAAAAUCUAAAACAAACCAUAACAGGUAUAGAAUUAUACAUUCAUAUACUACAAGUUUGUUUGAGAAAUAACAAUAAAACAUGUACAUCUACUAACAAAAUACAUAUACUAAAAAAACAAUAAAAUUGACAUUUAAAUGUUAAAAUUUAAAAAGAUAGAAUUACUUACAAAAAUUGAUAAAAUCCGUCGGUAAAUCAGAAUAUGGAUGUUGUGACCACAAAACUUUCAAGAAAUAUAACUUGUUGUGCUGAGAUGAGGGAGAUUUUUGUUUGGGGGGGGGAGGGGGGCUGGUUGUUUGCAGAUGGGGAGAGUUGGGAUUAGGAAGAAGAAGGAGAAAUAGGGGAGGAGAGGGUCGGUAGAGAGGGCAUUUAUUAACUUUUUCCGACGGUUUCACCGAUGAAAUUAUCAAUUGAUGAGUCCGCCAGCUAUUCUGACGGAAAAAUCGACACGUCACCGUAUGGAUCUUCCAUUUCGAAUCCCUCGGUGAUUCCGUCGGUAUUUCAAGCAGUGAACCGGUCACGUCACCGUACGGAUCUGCCAUUUCGAAUCCCUCGGUGAUUUCGUCAGCAUUUUAAACGGCGAACCGGUCACGUCACUGUGUGGGGUUGUCGUUUUGAAUCCGUCGGUAAAAAUAACCCCGCCAAAACCUCUACGUUUGCGACCCGCCUUUUUUUUUAAAUUCAAAACGUUUUCCGUCCGUAAUUCAGUCGGUAACUACCGACGGACACUUGUUGUCGGUAGUUACCGACUGAAUUACGGACGGAAAGGUUUUUGUCGGUAAUUUCGACCUCAAAUUACUGACAGAAAUAUUCCGUCGGUAAAUCCGUUGCUAUUGAGUGAAUUUCUAGUUGUGAAAGGGGCGCAUACGUACCACCCAUCUGUGAUCUCAAUCCAUGGCCAUUCUACGGGUUCAUCAUAAUCCGCAUAGAGUCGUUCAUAUUCUUCAAUGAGAUGGGUCGUAUGUUGUUCCAAGGUCGCGAACUCCUGAGACUGGGUGGUCAAUAUCGAUUGCAAGCUCCCAACGGUUGAGACACUACGGGCCACCUACAAGUUGGUCGUGGAGUUGGAGAGUUUGUACACCUGAUUUCUAUCGGGUCCACCAGAUGAUCCUGCCUCCAUCCACAAAUCCAGAUCGAAAUCCAAGUGGGUCGAAGGAUCGUUCCCGUAUCUCUCCCUCAAUCGGCUGUUAUAUGUCUCCUGAAAAUAAAAAAACUGAAAUCAUCAAAUUUAAUUCAAGUAAAUAAUAAUUUACAAAAGAAAAUGGUUGAACGAACAUACCAUAAAGUGUUGAGCGUAGUAGUCAACGAACUGUUGCACCUCUUUUUGGCAGUCUUCACUCUACACGUGCGUCUCCACAAAAAGCUCCAUUGGGCUUGGCUCACGUCCAAGAGCUGUAGUCUGUAAGAAAAAAAUGUUGCAAGUAAAAUAAAUUUAUAAAUAACAACAAAUUAAUUAAAGAUAAAUGUGAUUAAAAUUAAUUUUUUUGUUAUUUUUUAGGCUUUGUUUGGAAAAACAAAACCUAAUUUUUUUGUAAUAAAACUGUCGAAACAAGCAUAAUGGGGUGUUUGCCAAACACACCCUUAAACCAAAAAACCCUUUUAGCAAAAAUAUUGCAAGCUAAACAGGGUCUUAACCCUUUGACCCAUUCUUGACCCAUCUGGGUUGACCUGAUCGAGUUGACCUGACUGGGAUGACCCAAAAUCUUUGGUUUCAACCAUAAAUCGAACCAAAGAUCCUGGUUUGACCCGAAAACAACUCAAAAAGAAAACAAAAGCCAAAAAACAGAUUAAACACCAAAAAACAUGAAAAAACUCGAAAAUAACAAAUCAAAUGCAAAAAAAAAUGAAGAACACGAAUAACAUGAAAAACAUUAAAACUCAAAUUCUAGCAACAUGAAUUCUAAUCUAGACCAUAUUUCAGGAAAUAAAAAGCACAUAAAGGAUGGAAAUCAAUCAUUGAACAAUAAUUAAGCAUCAAGCAUCGAUGAUUAUCAACCAAUAAUCAUGAUUGAGUCAAAAUAGGUUUUGGUUCAAAACCAAAAUCCUAUGAUUAAAACCCCCAUAAAACUUGUUAUUGAUACAAAUGAACUCUAGACUACUAAUUAAUCAAGUCCAAUGAAGUGUUUAAUGCAAUGGACCAAAACUGGUCCAAAACAUAGAUAUAAGCCAAUGUUUUUCCCAAGAACAUAGAACACUGCCUUAGAAAACCCGGCUAUUGUCAAGCCACCAAAACUGGCAUUUUCGACCACUAAAACAUGCUUUCUUCGUUUCAAAAAGUCACACUACCAUAACCAAACAUGUUUGAAUAAAAAAACUAACAAAUAACAUUAAAAUCAUGCAAGAGGUUCCAAACUUCAAAACUACAAACUUAAAAUAGCCUAUAUAUUUAUGCAAUUUGGAUUCAAUUUUUUUUCCUAAACCUUCAAUAAGACCCAACCAAAACCUAGAAACUAAGAACAUGCAUCAGCCAACAUAAAAAAACAUCAUAACCUUGCUACCACAUCUAGUAGAUUUCAAAAGUACUUUAUUUCAUCAAAACUCAUCCAACAAACAUCACCUAAGUAUUCAGAGACAUUAACAAACAACUCAAAUCAAGAUUUAAACAAUAAAACAACUUUUUUAUGUAUUAAUCAAAAUCAAAACUAAAGAACAUCAUAACAGUAAAGCAAGUUUGAAAACAUCAUUAAACAUGUAAAACAAGUGACUCGACUAACUCGGAAGGAAGUUAAGUUUGAAUGGUCAAAAGAGUGUGAAACAAGUUUUCAAGAGUUAAAAUCCAGGCUAACUUCAACCCAGUAUUGGCUUUACCAAAAGGACAUGAGGGAUUUGUUAUGUAUAGGGAUGCUUCCAAUAAGGGUUUGAGUUGUGUAUUUAUGCAGCACGGAAGGGUAAUUGCUUAUGCAUCUAGAUAGUUGAAACCACAUGAGAUAAACUAUCAUGUACAUGAUUUGGAGCUGGCAGCUGUGGUGUUUGCUUUGAGGAUAUGGAGACAUUAUUUGUACGCGAUAUAGGAGAUGGAUGGAGCUAAUCAAAGAUUAUUACAGAUCACAAAAGUUUAAAAUAUUUGAUGUCAUAAAAAGAAUUGAAUAUGUGAUAUAGGAGAUGGAUGGAGCUAAUCAAAGAUUAUAAUUGUAUUAUUGACUAUCACCCGGGGAAAGCAAAUGUGGUGGUAGAUGCUCUAAGUCGGAAGAAUAAAGCUUUUAUUAGUGGUUUACUAGUGCUAAGUGAGCUAAAUGUGCAUUUGGAUGUGACUUCAGGAGGAAUAUUACUGGCAACAUUAGUGCUAUAAUCAGAUAUGAGAGAAAAGAUUCGAAAAGCUCAAGGUGAAGAUCCUGAAGUGAUAAAAGAAAUGAACAAUGUAAAAGUAGGCCAAGACUCUUUAUUUCGAGUGUCAAAAGAUGGGCUAGUUAUGGGAAACAUAAUAUAUUUACCUGAUGAUAAGGUUUUAAAAAGUGAAGUCUUAAAAGAAGCUCAUGAGUCUAAAUUGACGAUCCAUCUAGGGAGCACGAAAAUGUAUAGAGAUUUGAAGGAGAGUUACUGGUGGCCAAAAAUGAAAAGGGAGAUAACAUAAUACGUGGCCAAAUGUGCCAUAUAUCUACAGGUGAAUGUAGAGCAUCAAUGGCCGAUUGGAGAAUUACAAUCUCUUUCGAUUCCAGAAUGGAAAUGGGAGAAUAUCACUAUGAAUUUUGUAUCUAGCUGGUAAGGACUUGAUGCCAUAUGGGUGAUCGUGGAUAGACUGACAAAGUCUUCUUUGUUUUUGCCUAUGAAGAUAGGGGAUUCGGUUGAAUAACUAGCUCAAUUAUAUAUUAAAGAGGUGGUGAGAUUGCAUGGUGUACCAGUUUCUAUAGUUUUUGAUAGGGAUCCUUGGUUUACAUCAAGGUUAUGGCCGAGUAUACAAUGGGCUUUGGGUACCAUAUUGAAUUUAAGAAUGACUUUUCAUCCACAGACUGAUGGGCAAUCUGAAAAGACAAUUUAGAUUUUGGAAGAUUUGUUAUAGCUUGUAUUCUAGAGUUUGGAGGUCAAUGGGAGGAUCAUUUGCCAUUAGUAGAAUUUACUUAUAAUAAUAGUUAUCAAUCUACUAUUGGCAUGAAACCAUAUGAAGCAUUGUAUGAAAGGUGAUGUCGAACUACAGUACGUUGGGAUGAAGUUCGGGAAAGAAAAUUAUUGGGAUCUGAACUGGUGCAGAUCAUGGUUGAUAAGGUGAAGGGGAUAAAGUAAAGGAUGAAAGAAGCUCAAGACCGGUAAAAGAGUUGUGCUGAUAAUUGACGGAGACCUCUAGAGUUUCAAAUUGGAGAUAUGGUAUUUUUAAAAGUUGCACCAUGGAAGCAUGUGAUUCGGUUUGGAAUGAAAGGCAAAUUAGCACCCAGGUAUAUCGGGCCAUAUAAAAUUAUAGAAAGAAUUGGGAUGGUUGCCUAUCGAAUAAUCCAAUCCUUAGAUUGAGCUGAAAUUUUACGAGGGACUUUAAAAUAUAUUGAAUAAAAUUUGGUUAAAAUUUUAGGAUGAACAGAGCUCGGUGUUGCUUAAAAAAAAUUAGGACCUUCAAAUAGAAGCAAAAUGACUCAUUAAGGGUAAAAUGAUUAUUUGCCAUUAAAAAUAAAACAAAUCAGCUCUCCUUUCCUUUUAUAUGCUGCCGACUGGGCAGAAGCAGAGUGGGAAAAGAAGAAAAGAAAAAAAGCGAGUGAGAAAGAGAGAAAAGUAAGGAAAAAAUAAGAAAAGUGAGAGAAUAAUCUUGUAAACUUACAAAGUCCAACUUAUAAAACACUAAUCUAAGGAAGAAUCAAGUGAAGGAAGGAGGAUUUGAGAGAGAGAAUUUGGCUAACCUUGGGAGAGAAGAGAAAUUGGAAGAAAGUCAAUUAGUAAGUAUGAGAAGUUUGGAUUUAAUGUUUGAUUUAGAUGUUUUUAAGCUAACUCGAUUAAGUUAGGAAGUAAUUUCAUGGAAUUUUACUUUAAUUUCCCUUAAAUCCUUGAUUCUUGAACUUAGGAUUCUUAUGGGAAUUUGGGGGAAUUAGAAAGGGAAGGAAAAAUGAUGAAGUAAGUGGAAUAGCAUGAAAACAAGUUGAAAUAACAAGUAAAUGAAGAAAAAUUUGGGGGAGGAAAAAGAAGAUGACAUUUGGCCAAAUGAAGGAAAAGUGGAGGAAUGAGUUUUGAUGUUAAUGUUUAGGAAACUAUGUUUAAUCAUGAUAUUUGAAAUAUACAAGAAAGACUAAAUGAAGAAAUAACAUUAAAGUUGAGAAAAAUAAGUAAAUUCAAUUUAAAAGAGAAUUGAACUAGUUAAAAAGAAAGUAUGAAGACAAGAUGUUUAGAUUGUGUUUGAAUAUAGUUCUUACAUAUGUUUAGAUAAAAUAAAUAAUAUGAUGUGAAGGCAUAAAGAAUAGAAGGAUUAUUUGAUGGAAGAAUUAUGAACAUAAAGUAAGAAAAGAAGUCAAAAAGGUCAUUCUCAGUCUUCACACUUCAUGCACAAGGAAAUAAUAUGUUUAAUUCGUCAAUCGACUCAUAGCCAACACUGUAACAAAUGUUUGGGAUGAAGGGAAAAGUAUAGAUUUUUCUCAUUAGAGAAAGAAACUGCAUAAAAUGUGAAUGCUGUAAUUAUUUUCAAAGAACUUAACCAUAAAUCCACCCUUCUUGCAAGGAACAAAGCCUUCUUCCCUAUAUUUUCAAAGAAUGCUAUAAUUAUUAUGGUGAAUCAUGCAAGCAUAUCCCACUACCAGAAAAUUGAUAAAUACAAACGGAAAUACCGAGGGAAUAUUUCCGUCGGUAAAUUUCCGAGGGAUUUUACCGACGGAAAUAUUCCCUCGGUAUAUACCGAGGGAAUUACCGUGGGAAAAAAAAUUAAAACAAAGCAAAAAAAAAAUGAUGACGUGUCAUUUUUACCAACGGAAUUACCAACAGAAUUACCGACGGAAUAAAUUCCGUCGGUGAUUCCGUUGGAAAAUUUGUUGGUAAAUUGUGAACACUGUUCAUCAUGUUAAUUACAAAGGGAAUCACCGACGGAAUAUUCCGUCGGUAUUUUCCAGAGGGAAAAGUCGUCGGUGUUAUUUGGCGGUUUUCUGAAAAAAUUCAAUUAAUUUAAAAUUUUCAUUUAAAUAUUACAGACGGAAUCACCGACGGAUUGAAAAAUCAUCGGUAAUUUUUUGGCGGUUUCUGAAAAAAUUUUACGAAAUUGAAAAUUUAAAUUAAAUAUUACCGAUGGAAUUACCGACGGAAUAAUUAAAAAAUAUUAAUAUUUAAUUAUCCGUCGGUAAAUCCGUCGGUAAAGCGUCCCAAUAAAAAGCCUGAAUGCCCUUAUUUCACAAGAGACAGACCCGUUUCUUAUUAUUAUUCUUCUUCUUGUUCUUCUACUUCUUCUUCUUCUUCUUCUUCUUCUUCACUAUAUGUAAAAAACAUCAUUAAGGUAUGUCUUCUUCUUCUUCUUCACUUUAUGUAAAAAACAUCAUUUCUUAUCUAUUUCUUUCUCUUCUUUUCUCUCCUCAUCUCCUUCUCUUUUCCUCCAUGCUUGGAUAUGUCUUUUUCUUCUUUCUUCUUUUAUCCUCUUAGUUUUUUUUUAAUUAAUAUGCUUAAUGAAAUUUUUUUUCUCUCCUUAGCUUCACUUGCAACUACAUUAAGGUAAGAUUUUUCUUUUUUCUUCUUUUUUCAUGAUUUGUUUCACUAUAUUUGUUCUUUAUUUUAUUUUUAAUUGUUUUUGUUCUUAAUAAUUGUAUAAAUGUUGUUGUGAGAUGUUUUUUUCAUAUGAGAUCAAUUUUUAGUAGAUUUAUUUAUAGGAUUUUUAAAUUUUUAGCAAUUGCAACUUCAUUUUUUUCAUAUGAAUUUUUUUAGUUGAAUUUAUUUUUUUAUUUUAUUUAUUUGUUGCAAAUUUGUUUGAAUUGAUUUUCUUAUUCUUUUUUCCAAGCAUUUUGAGUAUAUAUUAUACAGUGUUAAUUUAUGUCAAUUUAAUUAUUUUAUAAUUUUAUAAAAUGAAUUUUUUUAAAAUGUUUUUCAAUAAUUACCGACGGAAUUACCGACGGAAGUUCCGUCGGUAAUUCCGUCGGUACAUCCCUCGGUAAUUCUGUUGGUAAUAAAAAAAUUAUUACCGACGCGUCUGUUCCGUCAGUAAAUCCAUCGGUAAUUCUAUUACCAACAGAUUUACCGACGAACGAUUCACCGACGAAUCAUUUCCGUCUUUGAUUCCGUCGGUAAUAUAAUUACCGAUGAAAUAUGUGUCUUACACCGACGGAAAAAUUCCGUCGGUAAAACUGUUAAAUCUUGUAGUGUCCAGAAUGAUUUGAUAUUUCUUAAUUGAAUUUUGGAAAAGUCGUGAUACUUGGUAAAGCCUUUGGAUAGUUUCUCUGAGAUGUGAUGGAAUUAACAACAUAUUGAGAAUAAUAAAAAAGAAAAAGCAACUGAAUCAAUGAUCAAAAGUUGUGAAAAUUAUAUCUUUCUUUGAAGAUUUUGAUUUUGACCACAGUGAACCUAUAAGCUUAGAUAGAGAGGGCUUCUAUGAUUUCUAUAUAUACGGACUAGCUUGGCUUCAAACCAUAUGUACAAGUCAAGCUCAAACUCAGAACCUACUUAAACUGUUUCUUCUUCUUAUUUUUUAGUGUCAUUUUGCAAAUGGCUCGCCAAGCAGAUCGCCUUUACAAGAUUGGGUUAAAAGGGUUUGCACUAAUAGACGAGUGGUACGGGUGCCCUAGGAGGUCUUCAACUCCUCAAGAGCACCAUCAGCAACGAUAUGAUUAUGGUGGAAUCCAAGUUCCCAUGAUGAAAAUGGAUGUUAUCAACAACAAGGAGGCAGCUAAACAUUAUGGUGGGGUGGUGAUUAUGGAUUAUCGAAAGAAAAAAUUACUCUAUUGAGCUCUUUAGUGAUAAUGUAUUGGGCCUUGCUUUGCUUGGUUAAGUUAAUUACCAAGCAUAAUUAAGUCGUUUUUAACUUUAUUGUUUUCUUCUUCUUUUUCCUAUGUUUGUGUGUGUGUAUGCCAAUUGUUUUAGAGUCAGCUACUCCAAAACAUGAAAAAGUAUGAGUGCCUUAAAGUGAAUUGUUGCACCUCUUAUUUCUCUAUGAUUACGAUUGUUGGGUUUCUUGAAAUACAUGACAUAGUGAAAAUAGUUUUUUCAAGUCUCAUGUAUCUCAUUAAACAACAUAAACUUAUUUAAGAUUUGUGCGAAAAUUGUAUGAAGAUAGUUCUUCCUCCUAGAAUUUGAUCAACACUUGAAGGCUGCAUUCUCGUAAAUCAAGUCCUUACUUGAUUUUUCUAAAUCUAGAAUUUUAAUCUCAUGUGCUAAUUAUAUUAUAGUUUUCANNNNNNNNNNNNNNNNNNNNNNNNNNNNNNNNNNNNNNNNNNNNNNNNNNNNNNNNNNNNNNNNNNNNNNNNNNNNNNNNNNNNNNNNNNNNNNNNNNNNAAAAAUGUAUUAUUCUGUAUUUGUAAUCUUAGUUUGUUUACUUGCAAUUGUUAUGAAUUAUGUGUGUUAAUGGGAAAGAAAUGAGCAUGCGAAAUGUGAGGCAUGUACCAUGAAUGAUGUGUUGUCAAGGUUCUACAUGAUUAUGAUAUGAUUGAGAAAUGAGUAUAACUAUACAGGAUGAUUGUCGAUAACUUGGGACCUCCAGGUAUAAAGGAAACUCUGCCGAAAUUUCAGUGGAAAUUUUGGCAACUCUCGGAUAAGUUCGGUGGAUGAAAAAAAAAAAUACCCAUUUUUUUAAAAGUUAAGGCUCAAAGUACUUUGAUGAAUGUACUAAAUUACAGGGUGUUACAAUUUCUGUAUCGGAUUCUUCAAGGAUAGUUUAAAUGUCUCAAAAGUUUAAAAUUUAAAAUAAAUUUAAAAAAAAUAAUUAGGAUUGCUGUUUUGGAUUUUUCAAGGAUAGUUAAAAGUCUUAAAAUUAUAACAUUCAAAAGAAUUUAAACAAAGGAAUUAGGAUUUCUGUUUUGGAUUCUUCAAGGAUAGUUUAAANNNNNNNNNNNNNNNNNNNNNNNNNNNNNNNNNNNNNNNNNNNNNNNNNNNNNNNNNNNNNNNNNNNNNNNNNNNNNNNNNNNNNNNNNNNNNNNNNNNNUCGCCGCGUCGCCGCGCACCCCGCUAUAAUUAUUAUGGUGAAUCAUGCAUGCAUAUCCAGAAUGAUUUGAUAUUUCUUAAUUGAAUUUUGGAAAAGUCGUGAUACUUGGUAAAGCCUUUGGAUAGUUUCUCUGAGAUGUGAUGGAAUUAACAACAUAUUGAGAAUAAUAAAAAAGAAAAAGCAACGGAAUCAAUGAUCAAAAGUUGUGAAAAUUAUAUCUUUCUUUGAAGAUUUUGAUUUUGACCACAGUGAACCUAUAAGCUUAGAUAGAGAGGGCUUCUAUGAUUUCUAUAUAUACGGACUAGCUUGGCUUCAAACCAUAUGUACAAGUCAAGCUCAAACUCAGAACCUACUUAAACUGUUUCUUCUUCUUAUUUUUUAGUGUCAUUUUGCAAAUGGCUCGCCAAGCAGAUCGCCUUUACAAGAUUGGGUUGGAAGGGUUUGCACUAAUAGACGAGUGGUACGGGUACCCUAGGAGGUCUUCAACUCCUCAAGAGCACCAUCAGCAACGAUAUGAUUAUGGUGGAAUCCAAGUUCCCAUGAUGAAAAUGGAUGUUAUCAACAACAAGGAGGCAGCUAAACAUUAUGGUGGGGUGGUGAUUAUGGAUUAUCGAAAGAAAAAAUUACUCUAUUGAGCUCUUUAGUGAUAAUGUAUUGGGCCUUGCUUUGCUUGGUUAAGUUAAUUACCAAGCAUAAUUAAGUCAUUUUUAACUUUAUUGUUUUCUUCUUUUUUUUCCUAUGUUUGUGUGUGUAUGCCAAUUGUUUUAGAGUCAGCUACUCCAAAACAUGAAAAAGUACGAGUGCCUUAAAGUGAUUUGCUGCACCUCUUAUUUCUCUAUGAUUACGUUCUUGGGUUUCUUGAAAUACAUGACAUAGUGAAAAUAGUUUUUUCAAGUCUCAUGGAUCUCAUUAAACAACAUAAACUUAUUUAGGAUUUGUGCGAAAAUUGUAUGAAGAUAGUUCUUCCUCCUAGAAUUUGAUCAACACUUGAAGGCUGCAUUUUCGUAAAUCAAGUCCUUACUUGAUUUUUCUAAAUCUAGAAUUUUAAUCUCAUGUGCUAAUUAUAUUAUAGUUUUCAAUUUCUAAAACUUAUUUACAAUCAAUUUGUUAUUAUCUACUUUUGACUCCACAAAAAAUCAAGAAAAGAAAGAGAAAAUAGAAAGAGAAAAUCCAAAAUACAAGAAGAUAUACAUGAAAAAAAAACAUAAAAGAUUACUUAAGUUGAUGGUGAAGGACCAAAUUACAUGUGGAAAAGUUGAAGGACCAAAAUAUACAAAACUACUAUAAUUAACAACUCAAUUCCAAUUGACAAAGGGCCCCAUUGGUGAAAAUAUUUCUAUUAGGGUAAAGAAAUACAAAUUUGGAUAGGUAAGGACUUAAUGAGAAUUUUGGAAGGCUUAAUUAAUUUUAUUGAGGACUUGAUUACUGGGAAAAUCAGUUUUUAGAGUCAAUUUGGGUGUUAAUUGAAAUAAAUUAAAGUCCAUAGACUUAAUUGGUUUUUUAGGAGGUUUAAUUGGAUGAAUCAAGGGCUUAAUUGUAAGAAUAUUGAAGUUUGGUAGGUAAUUAGGGACUUGAUUGAAGAAAUCUAAAACCAAGGACCAAACUGAAAAAAGGCGCAUGACUGUAGAGACUAAAUUUGACCAAAUUAGGGGCCAAAUUGAAGAAAAUUGAAAGUUUAAUGGUCAAUUAAGGGUCCGAGUGCACAAAUUAGAAACUAAGGACCAAGAUUAAAAUGGCGCUGAACUUUGAGGUUGAUGAUUGAGCUGGACAAGGGUGAAAUUACAUGAAAUUAAGAGUUUGAAGGACAAUUAUAGGUGCAAUUAAAACAAAUUUGAAGAAUAGGGACUAAAGUGAAAAUUUUCAAAUCCCAAAUAAAAAACCCUAAUUUCUAGGGUUUAACCUAGAUGAUGCGUCGUUCGACCAUUGUUUAGUUUUUUGUUGGCAAUUUUGGUUGAUCGAGUAGGCACCUUCAAACGAAUGAAUGUGGCGUUUCCAACCACUUCUAGGGUUGUAACCACCACCAUUUAAUUGAGAAACACCCCAUCUACAAAGAUCAACUACGACCAUCAAGCACUUAUAUCCCAUUUUCUUUAUCGAACUCAACAACAUCUUUUCCUAGUUAGCCAUUACUACAUUUUCAAAUUCUCGGAUAAUCGAGUUGUCGCCUUCAACAAGUGAAUAUGGGGCUACAGACAUCCAAAUUGAACAAGAAUGGACCAAAUCGAAAGGUGUGAUUCUCCUUUAUAAAGUUUAGGUGGUCUCCAAUAACAUUUACGUUGGAGUUGCUCUGGCGUGGCCUCAAAAUUGGUCAACUUAGUCAGUCUUGACUAAGAUACCUAUUUGUACAAAGUCAUUCAACUUUUUCGUGUGUUCACACUUAAAAAAUUUUAGAGGGUUCUUAUCAAGGGUCAUAAAUCUCAUCCAUAAUCAGAAGGUGAGGGAUGCAUGCCUUUGUCUCCAAGAAAAAAAAAACCUCCUAGGUAAUUUUGUUAGAAAACCAUUGUCCCAAAACCAUUGAAAGACAAAGGUUCUGAUUGUUAACAUUUGUCCAGAACUCUCUCAUUUUGAUCAAAGAACUAAGCUUUGAUCGAUCUAUAUUUGAAUCCAUUAAACACCCUAGCAAAACCCUAUAAAUACCCCCUGAAAAAUAAAAAUAAAAAGAGAGAGAGGAAAAACAUGGAAGAAACACACUAUGAAAAGAUCCUGGUGUGAAGGUUCAAGAGCCUAACAUAGAGGGUCUAACAAGCUUUAGAAAAAAUAUAGUGAAAGGGAAAGAGGUAAAUAAAAGAGAAGGAAAAUAGUUCAUAGCUAGCAAGCUUGGAUAAGGUAUAAAUAUGUAGAAAUUCAAGCGUGGAGUCCAUGUGGCCUUCCUUUUCAUGCUUUCUUAAUGUUUAAACCUCUUUUGAUGUUGUUUGAGCUUGUCUUGCAUUUUUUGGUUUGAUUUUGGUGCUGGAAUAAUUUGAUGUAUUUUCAGCAGAGUUUGUUUUAUUAGAUUUCAUUAUGAUAAUUUGUUUUAGUUUUGGUUAAUAAUUUGUUAUUGAGGUUUGCACUAAAGACAUGAUUCUUGGUUUUCACACUUGUUUGAUUAUGUGAUUUUAGCCUAAUAGCAUGAUGAUGAUGUAUUUGAGAUAUUUUGAUUGGUGUUUGAAUCUAUUUUGUAAUUAAACAAUGAGUUGUUUUUGUUUGUGGGUUAAAUAUUUUGGAAGCAUGUUGAUUAAUUUGAUGAUUUUAGUGCAAGUUCAUGGUUUAUACAAGUAUGUUUUGGCAUAUAGAUGUUAAAAAUAUCAAGUUUUGAAUCCAAAUAGCAUGAAUAUGCUUGUUGAUUAUCUUUAGUAGUUUUGAACUUUGGAACUUAAUGCAUGUUAUUGAUGACUUUAUUUUAUUUGUUAGUUCUUUGAAUUCAACAAUGCUUAAUAUUGAUAAUAUGGUUUGCAAGGACCAAAAGAAACAUGUUUUAGAAGCCUUAGAGGCUAGUUUUGGGUUUAAUAGUAGGUUGGGAACUUUUAGGUUGCUGGGUUUGGUUUUUUCAUGUUCUUGGAAAGAAAAUUGCCUUAGCACUAUGAUUUAGAUCAAUUUUGGUCCCUUUGUUUACACUAAACCAUUCAGGGGACUUAACUAGUAGAUAAUAUAGGGUUUAUUUGCAUUAAUAACAAGUGUAUGGGUUUUUAAUCCUAAGAUUUUGGUUUUUAACCGAAACCCAUUUUCACAAAAUCACGUUAAUUCUUUGAUAAUCGAAGUAAUGGAUGCUAGAUUAUGGAUCCUUGCAUGAUUUCAAAUAAAACCUUGCCCUUGAUUGCAUGAAAACUUGACUGGAUUAAGAUUUGUGUUUGUUGGUUUGUUGAUGAAUGCUCUUUGUGUUCUUCACGAUUUGAGUGUUUGAUCUAUUUUUCUGCAAAUUUUUUUUUAUGUUUUGUGUUAAUUUUCAACUUUGAUUUUGUUUCAGGUUAAACCUUUGUUUGAGUUUACUUUUCAGAUCAAACCUUGUUUUUUGGUUCAGUUCAUGGUUAAACUAGUGUCUUUGGGUCGACCCGUUUGGUUUUGUUUUAGGUCAAGUACUUAAGGCUUUGUUUGUUUGAACAACCUUUUGUGAAGGAUUUUUUUGGCCCAAGAGAAUGUUUGGCAAACACACACUUAAGUGCAUUUUGGUAAUUUCUAGGGAAAGAAAAGAUGGUUUUGCCAAACAUUGGCUUAUAGAAAUAAACUAGCUAUGUGACCCGCGCUCCACCGCGGGUUAAAUAAUCAAAAAAAUUUAAAAGAGCUCCUAAACAAAAUAAAAGAGAUGAUGUUUUAUCCAGGUUAUAAAAAGGUCCAAAGAUGUUGGGUCUUGGUGGCAGAAGGAUCCAAUUGGGUGUUGGGCCAUGGUGGAGGCAAGGCCCACAACUGUUGGGUCUUGGUGGGAGGACCCAACACGCAAUUGGGUCCUACACCGUCAAGACCCAACAUCCACAUGGGUCCUGCACCUGGCAGGACCUAGAAGGAUGUGGGUCCUGCACCCGGCAGGACCCAACAUGCAAUUGGGUCUUGCACUGUGCAGGACUCGAAGCUAAUUUCGGUCCUGCACCUUGCACGACCCAAAGUUAUUGUGGGUCCUGCGCUAUACUCAAUUGGGUUGGGUCCUGCAUCCUGUAGGACUUAAAGUGCAGGAUCCAACACCCAAUUGGUCCUGCACAUGUCAGGACCUAACACAUAAUAUAUAUAUAUAUAUAUAUAUAUAUAUAUAUAUAUAUAUAUAUAUAUAUAUAUAUAUAUAUAAUUCAAAACUACUGCAUAAAAAUCUAAAGACAAUAAAAUAUUGAUAUAACUUUGAAUCUCAUACACUAAUGUUAUAAAAUUAAAAUAUCUUGUAUUACCUAAAAUAAAAUCUCUUAUAUAAUACUAAAGAUUUAUAAAGUAUAUGAUGUAAAUAAAAAAUUUCUUGAGAUUUCUAUCAACUUUAAUAUGAAAAUAUUAGAGAAUAGAAUUAAAAAUUUUCAACUUUUUUCAAAGUAUUUUUAAAACUAUGAGUCAGGUGCCCUUGUCAACUCUUAGUUUUUUAGGUCUAGAAGGGAAUGUCAGAUCCAUGUUAAUAAUAAUAAUAAUUCAUUUAAUUAUAAUUAAAAUGAAGAAGAAGAAGAUACAAAAAGGAAAUUAAUACAGGUUUGUAAGCCAUGUAAAACACAAUUACUCAAGAUAUUUCAUGGUUUGCAUGCCUCUAGUUUGCGUGCGUGGUUAGGUUUCCCAUCUAUUUUAUGAAUUCACGCAAACCUAUUAUGAUAAUAUUUACAUACCAAGCACUAGAAACUAUAGAAGAAAAAAGAAAAUCUGACAAUAAGAAAAAUAUAUUGGUCUCAUAAUAUCUAUUUAGCCUUACACUUCUGGAAAAAGAUUAAUUUUCCAUCAGCACCAUGGACAUCUGGAAAUUUUUAUUUUUUGAUUUACUUUAAAUUAGUAUUUUUUUGACAUUUUUGUAUUAUUUUUAAAAGAUUGUUUCCAAAAUAUAUAUUUAGAUUGUGUCUUGAAAAUUUUUAAUUUUUUUCUUGACUUUAAAUUUUGAAGACACAAUCUCAACAUAAUUUUUUAAAAGAAAAUAUUUAAAAAAUAAUAGAAAAACAAAGAAAAAAGUAAUUUAAAGUAAAGGAAAAAAAUAAAAAUAUUUCAAGACACAAUUUCAAUAUUUUUUUUCAAACAUAGUAUUUAAAAAACAAUAGCAAAAUAUAAAAAAAAUCAAUUUGAAUUAAAGGAAAAAAUUAAAAAUUUUCAAAUUUCUUGGCUCUUGCUUCACAGUCAGACACAAUCUCAAAAAAAUAAUUUAAAAUCUUUAUUUAAAAAAUAAUAGAAAAACAUAGAAAAAAAAAUUUAAGUAAAGAAAAAAAUUAAAAAUUUUCAAGACACAAUCUCAAUGUAUAUUUUGAAAAAAAAUAUUUUCAAAAUAAUACAAAAAUAUAUAUAAAAAAUUAAUUUAAAGUAAAUUAAAAAUUUUCAAAUUUCUUGGGUCUGGCUUGUCAAAAGUUAUUUCAAAAAUUACAAAUUCAAAAAAUUAAUGUUGUUGGGUCUUUUGGUAGAGAAGGCAACGCCCCCAGCUCUUGGAUCCUAACUCUAAAGGGUUGAGGAGAACCCAAUGUCAUUGGGUCCUGGUGUUAGCAAUACCCAAUAACCCACAGUCAACCACUAUGUUGGGUCUCCCAGUAGCUCUGGGAAGACAAGGCAAAGCCUCCAUCCGUAAAUUUUGACCAAAACCAUAGCAGGGUAUGACCCCCAAGGUGUAUGGCUGCUAGGUCUGGCUGUGUAACCACACCCAAUAUCCUUAGGUAUGGUUGUGCAGCUAAACCCAACACCUUUGGAGGGUGUUAGGUCCUGCACCGUGCAUGACCAAAAUAGCUAUGAUAUAAGUAAUCCAUCCUAGGGACAUCGGCAUAGGAAGAUUGAAAAAAAAACAAAACAAAACAAUUGAUUUCCUUUGGUAAAUGGAUUGGAAAUCCAUGUUAUCACGAAUGUGAGAAUUCAAUCACCCAUACCUCUCUAUAUCUCUACACAUCGUAAAUAUAUAUAUCUUUUUCACUACAAUAUAACACCACCAUUGAAUAUUAAUGCAAGACCAUUGAUCAAUAAGGAUGACUGGCUUCCAGACCCAAUAACCAUACCCAAUUAAAUUUCUUUGUCGUUGUCUUCUCUGAUUUAAAUUUAUUUUUCAAAAUAAAUUGAUGAGAUUUUUUUUAUAUUGUAUAAAAGUUGAGUGAUAAUAUUUUUUUCCCAUUUCAGGUUGGGUUAAAUUUCCUAAUUAAAUCAUGUUUGAUUUUGCGUUUUGAAAAUUCCUUGAAAUUUUUUUGAUAAUUUUUAAGUUUUUUUUCUUUGCUUGAAAUUAAUAUUUUUGUUAUGUUUUUGUAUUAUUUUUUAAAAAAAUAUGUUGAGAUUAUGUCUGGCUGCGACGCUAGACAAAAGAAAUUUUAAAAUUUUUAAUUUUUUUCUUUACUUCAAAAUAUUACUUUCACCAUGUUUUUGUAUAUUUUUUAAAUAUUUUUUUUUUAAAAAAAACAUAUAUUGAGAUUGUGUCUAGUUGAGAGGCAAGACUCAAGAAAUUAAAAACAUUUUCAUUUUUUUAUUUACUUCAAAUUAAUUUUUGUUUAAUAUUUUUUUCUUCAUUUCAAAUUAUUUAGAUAGUGUUUGAUUUUGCAUUUCAAAAAUUGUUUGAAUUUUUUUUGACAAUUUUAAAGCUUUUUUCUUUACUUCAAAUUAAUUUUUUUUUAUGUUUUUGUAUUUUUUUUUUAAAUGUUGGCAUUGUGUUUGUCUGCGAUGCUAGACCCAAUAAAUUUUUAAAUUUUAAUUUUUUUCUUUCCUUCAAAAUAAUAUUUUUUUUUCAUGUUUUUAUAUAUUUUUUAAAAAUAUUGAGAUUUUCUCUGGCUCGUUUUGUGGGGCCUCUAAACCCAAGGAGGGUUAGAACAGACCUCGACGGCUGGGUCUGCACCCAGCGCGUGUGUAAUAGUCCGAACUGUACGACUCGAUCAAUGUUAAAAGAUUCCAACAUAUACUCUUUAUUUGAGGGUAAUGUUUUUUUUUUAUUUCCAAAAAUUCGACAGAGUUUUGUUUGCAUUUAGAACAUCCCAAGUUAUCGACUACUAUCAAUUUACUCAAUCAACCCAUUAUCACAAGGUCCCUUAAUUCCGGACCUUAUAUCAAACCUCAUAAUUCCACACCUCAUACAAUCCACACAAUAUAUAUAUAUAUCCUACGAGUAAGUUCAAUAUGAACAUAGUCCAACACAUCGUAUCAUAAAAUUUAAAGGAAAAGCAAUACUAUCAUGCAAAGAAAGUAUUUACAGUUAAUUACAAGAUAACUAAAAUACUACAUGCUAAGCUAAACCUUUAUAAAUACAUCAAGGUUUGCACAAAAGUAUACUACAUAAACACGUUAAUUCCCUUUUGUUUUAAGUUAAAUAUUUACAUAAGCUUCACAAGGUAGAGUCCUAAACUAAUGAUCUUCCUGGAUGUUUGAUGGACCUGUUACAUAAAUAAACAUACCAUUAUGUUGAUAAAGAAUAUAUGUAUGCUCAUGCAAUGAAUACGAAUGAAGUAUUAACUUUCUAUCGAAUCCAUGAGAAUUCUAACAAAUAACUUAUAUUUUGCUUGUAAAUCUUUUAAACCCAAUUAACACUCAUUUGUAUAUUCUUAAUUGAAUAAUCUUAUUUACUUGCAUAAACUGGGUGACCUUGCAAGGUUUAAUCUUGUAAUUCAUUUCCCGGCAAUCCUAUCAUGGAUGCCAUUAGCCGAAGCUAAUUAUGUAAAUCAUUUCCCGGCAAUCCUAUAACGGAUGCCAUUAGCCGAAGCUAAUCUUGUAAAUACACUAGGCUUUAUUUACAUUGAACACGAUAUUUAUUAUAAUUGCAUUCACCAGAAGGAUUCUAAAUUGUAUAAGUGCAAAUAGGAGGGAAAAUCAUGCACCUGCUUCGUCUGUCUCGCGACCUCCCCUAACAAAAGAUCCAAUCCUAGUUGCUCCUCCUGAAUCACAAGGAAGUUUUUUUUUUUUGGUUAUGAUUCCUUCAAGCCGAUAUUAUAGAGAAUUCAUAUUCAUCCAUUACUCAUAUGUUACUUUCUAUGCAUGUUCAUUUCCUCAUAAUAACAUACAUACAUAUAUCAUGUAUAUUUUCAGAGUUAGUAUCUCAAUAUACAAGUGUUCGUAUGACUCAAUUCUUUUAUAUUCUUAUUUAUAGUAUUCACGUCAAAGUCGUCUGACUUUGAACUGUUACUGUUUGACUUUGAACUGUUACUGUCCAAUUUCCAACUGUUACUGUUUGACUUGGAACUGUUACUGUCUAAACACUCAUCAGAUUUUUAACUAUAUCUAAAGUUCUAAAACUCCAUUUUAAGUGAGAUUGAUCUCGCUAGAAAGCUAAGACACGAGGCUACUAGUUCUCUGAGGAAGGAGAACCUAGUUUUGCCUCCAAGAUAGUCAAAAUUGUUCAUUUACUAAUUAGUCCUACUACCCUACAUAAUUAGUUACGACUCAAUCUCAGUUGGUAACCCAUAACUGGAGUUCUACAUCUCCAAAUUGAGCAAGACCAGUUUCUUUGGUUAGCUAACAUUCAAAUCUACAAUUUCUAUGAGGAACCCGAUCCUAAUCCCCUCAUCCUCCUACCCGAAAUCUCAUCAAAAGUUAGGAGACAAGUCUGUCUAGAUUCGUCUCCCCCUCCCCUUCACACAAUACUUUCAUAAACUACAUACCACACACAUGAAUUAACUUAAUCUCAACAAUAAGUACUUUUUCCCCAAUUUAUGUCUAAGAACCCUAACCUAUGAUUCAAUAUCAAGGCAUCAAUUCUUUAUCGAAUUUAAAAAUGAAUUUUUUUAAGAUCAUGUUUAGAAUACCUUACCCGGUACAAAUUAAGAUUUUGAUCUUCAACCAGUUGAAGAUUUUCAACUCCCUCCUUUCUUUUCUUCUUGUUCAAUUUCUUGGUAAUUUUUUGCUCUCAAGUGUUUAUCCCAUCUAUAAGCUCUUAAUCUUGGAUGGGUUCUUGAAAUUUUAGUGUUUCUCUCUUGAUUUCUCAAGAAUGGGUAUAAACUCCCUAUCUUCUCUUCUUAUGGUUCCUACAGAUUUUUUUGGUGAGGAGAGAGUAUUUAUACUCUAUAUUUUCCCUUAUUUGCAUUUAGGCCCUCCUUUUCCUUUAAGUGUAUUAUUCUCUUCAAUUAAAUCCAACCCUCAACAGUACCGGGUUUAUUAUAAUAUCGCGAAUUAUUUCGCUCGGAAAUUUAUAUUCAAAAAUUUCAGAAUUUCUGUUUUUAUUUAACCAUAUGCAUGAAUUUCAUCACUUUUAUUUAUUUAUUAUUUUUCCCGGGGUUUACAGCGCGGGUCCAGAGGCCAGGAGCGCGGGGUUGCAGACCCUGCCUCGCGGGUAUGCAGACCCCAGGGUCACAAGGCUGCACACUCGCUUGCACUGGGGAUGCAGCCAGGCGCGCGGGUCUGCCUUACCACCUAAGGCAUGGCAGGCCCCGUGCUAGGUGUCUGCAUGCUAGGGCCUUGGCCAGCCCUAGUGCUAGGUGGCAGCAACCUAGAGCGCGAGCAGGCGCACGUGGCCUACCCCACUCCCAAGCCUGACAGCCUAAGCGCCAAGUGUCCCCAGCCUUAGGGGUUGUGCGUCCAGCCAGACACUUGGGGCCCACACUAAUAUUUUUUUCAAAAAAUAUUUUUUAACAAUAAUAGUAAUAAUGAUAAUGAUAUUUGUUAUUAUAUUUUUUUUUUUGCAAUUUCCUUCCAUUUUUAAUAUUAAUACAAGUAAUAAUAUUUAGUAAUAAUAUUUUUUUUAACAUUCAAUGAAAUUAAAAAUAUAAAUAUUUAGAAUAAAAAUAAAAAUAUUUAGACUACAAAUAAAAAUAUUUAUCACAUUAAUAAUAAUAUGAAACUUGUUUGACCAAAGUUGAUAAAAUAAUAUUUUUUUUAAAAAAAAUUAUUAACAAUAAUAAUAACGAUAAUUGUUGUUAUAUUAUUUUUUUCAAUUUUCUUCUAUCCUUAACAUUAAUACUUUUAAUUACAAUAAAGAUAAUAAUAUUUAGAAUACAAAUAAUAAUAUUUAUCAUAUUAAUAAAAAUAUCUACAGUAAUAAAUUUUUUUAUGAUAAUUAACCAUGAGACAAUAAUAAUAAUGAUAAUUGCUAUUGUAUUUUUUCCCCUGCAGGGUCUGUCGAUCCAGCCGUGCGAGCCUCUAAACCCAAGGGCGGUUAGAACAGACAUCGGCGGUCGGGUCUGCACCCAGUGUGCGGGUCAGGAGGCUAGGAGCGCGGGGUGCAAACUCUACCUCGCUUGUCUGCAGACCCCAGGGUUGCGGGGCUGCAGCAAACCCCGCGCCAGGUGUCUGCAUGCUAGGGCCUCGGCCAGCCCUAGCACCAGGUGGCAGCAGCCUAGGGCGCGCGCAAGAGCGCGUGGCCAACCCAACGCCCAUGCCUGUCAACCCAAGCGCUAGGUAUUCGUAGCCUCAGGGGGUGUGCGUCCACCCAGGCACUUGAGGCGUGCAAUAAGAUUUUUUGAAAAAAAAGUUUUUUAAAGAAUAAUAAUAAUGAUAAUUGUUAUAAUAUUUUUUUUUCCAAUUUUCGUCUAUUCAUAAUAUUAAUACAUUUAAUUAAAAUAAUAAUAAUAAUAAUAAUAGUUAGAAAAAUAAUAAUAUUUAUCACAUUAAUAAUAAUAUGAAACUUGCUUGACCAAAGUUGAUACAAUAUUAAUAAUAAUAUGAAACUUGCUUGACCAAAGUUGAUACAUUAUUAAUAAUAAUAUUUAUCACAUAUUUUAUCAAAUUAUUUACAAAUAAUAAUAUAUUUUUAUGUUUGAAAAUCCAUUUUUUAUAUACUCACAUCAAAAUAUUCAUUCGUGUAAAAAGGAAAUAAUAAUAUUAAUUUUUCUUUUCUUUUCUCUUAUUUUCGAUAUGAAUACUUUUUUAUAUAUAUUUUUGAUAUUUCUCUUCUUGAAUUUGCUUAUUAAAGCAUGUUUGUUUUUGCGUUUAAAAAAUGCUUUGAAAACAUUUUUAAAAUUUUUAAUUGUUUUGUUUACUUCAAAUUAAUAUUUUUGAUGUUGUAUUUUUUUUUGGUCUAGGUCCAUGACUGCGUUUUUAUUAUAAUUCUAAUUAUAAAAUAAUAAUAUUUAUAAUAAAAAUAAUUAUAUUUAGAAAGCUAAGACCCAAUUCUCUUGGGUCGUGACGCAGGACCCAUUACCCUUGGAUCCUGCCGUGGGACCUAAAGGAAUUGGGUCCUGACGCAUGACCCAAUCCUCUUAGGUCCUUGGGUCCGGCGGCAGGACCCAAGAGAAUUAUAAUAAAAAUAAUAAUAUUUAUAAUACAAAUAAUAAUAUGUUUAAUGUCAAUAACAUUAAUUAUAAUAAACAUAACAAUAUUUAUAAUACAAAUAAGAAUAUCUUGAAUUUCAAUAACAUUAAUUAUAAUACAAAUAAUAAUAUUUUUCAUUUAUUAAUUAUUAUAUGAAUAAUAUUAAUUAUAAUAAAAUACAAAUAUUUAUAAUACAAAUAAUUUUAAUUUUAACGUUAUUAUUAUUAUUAUUAUUAUUUAUAAUACAACUAAGAAUAUUUUUUAAUAACAUUAAUUAUAAUACAAAAGUAUUAAUAUUAAAAAUAUUAUUAUUUGUAUUAUACAUAUUAUUAUUUUUAUUAUAAUUAAUAUUAUUCAUAUAAUAAUUAAUAAAUUUUGGAAAUUUAUUAUUAUUAUUAUUAUGAUUAAUAAAUUUUAAAAAUACUAUUAUUACUAUUGAAGAAAAACCAUUAUUUUUUUAAAGAUUUAAAAAUAUAAUUCAAAGUAUUCAUAUAAAAAAUAUAAUUAUUUGUAUUAUAAAUAUAAUUAUUUUUCUUAUAAUUCAAAGUAUUCAUAUCAAAAAAAUUAUUAUUUGUGUUAUAAAUAUAUUAUUUUAAUUAUAAUUCUAAGUAUUAAUAUAAAAAUAUUAUAAUUUGUGUUAUAAAUAUUCUUGAGUUUGUUAAUAUAAUUAUUUGUGUUAUAAAUAUUAUUAUAACAAAUAAUCAAAUGCCAAGCGCCCUAGGGCUGCAUCCAAGCAUGCGUGUCCGGUCAUAGCGCUCAAGGCUCGUCACACCCUUCGCCAGGUGUGUGCAUGCUGAGGCCUCGGCCAGCUAUAGCGCCAAGUGUUUGCUGCCUAGGGCCGCGACUAGGGGCGCGUGGCUGGCCCCAAAGCCCUGGCUUGGCUACCCAAGCACAAGGUGUCGACAGUCUAAUCUAAUUAAAUGUCGCCUCUGCCGCUGCAUCACUCCCAUCUUAAUGACAAAAGUCAAAUGAGCCACCCCAGUCGCAAUUCUUGACUAAAAACACAGGUAAGGAACGCCCCCCAAGGUGCUAUAGUGUCAUCCACAGUUCAUUGUAUCUUGGGCCACAGUGCAUGUACAGUAGAAAAUCCUAAUACGUGUUAAGACAUAGCAAAGCAACUAUGUAAGUUUUAAUACAUAGCAAAACAACUGUGCAAAUCCACAAUUAAUUGUCUCUUGGUCCACAGUGCAUGCAUGUACAGUAAGUCCACAAUGAAUUAUCUCUCAGUCCACAAUGUAUUCAUGUAUAGUAGAAAACCACGUGUUUUAGAGUUUUGUUAAUAAUAAAAAAAAACAAAAAUAAUUUUGGUUUGUUGUAUACGUCUCAAUCUUUACAUAACAUUGCAAUUUAUUAAUAAAAAGGAGGGGAAAAUGUUUUUAGCAUUGUUUUUUUUUUUCAUUUUGUAAUUUACAAUAAGUUGGCCAAUAUUUGGCCAAUAUUUCAAUAACUCUAAAAAUUUUAAUUCCUAAAAAUUAAAGGUCAACAUUAUGGUAUAAAUGUUAGACCUACCAGUAGGCUAGUAUUUAAGUACCAGAAGUUAACUAGAAAAUUUUCAGAAUUAUUUUGGAUAUUCAUCAUUUUUAAUUGUGAGUAUUUUUUCAUCACAAUAUAUGAGUUGUGGAAAACAUUUUCACCUUUCAGGAUAGGUGACUCCUGUCAAAGCACCUACAUGAAUUUUUUUUAUAAGAAUUUACCUAAACAUACGAGUCCAUAAUAAAUUUGAAAUGUCAUAUUUAUUUAUGGGCGUAAUUCCUUUUUCUGAGCCAUAAAUGGGCUACCGGUUAGGAACCCAUCAACACGUUUAAACCACAUCAUGACAACACAAUACAACUUUACUCAAGUAAGGAUGUUAAUGCCUUUUUCUAGCCAAUACUGGUCCCUUACCCUGAAAUUUCAGAUAAGAUCAGUUACUUGGGUCUUCUAAUGACUUUGAAAUCACAAAACUAGGUGCGGACUCCUUAAUCCCGAUGCUGCAACACCGCGCGCACAUAGGCGACACAAUUCAUGCUUGAUUAAUCAUCCAUGUGAAUUAUUAGGUUUCGAAUAUGUUGGCACAAAUAUAAAUCAUAAUCUUAUUCAAAACAAGAUUAAAUAAAUUAAGCAAUUUAAGUUACUAUCAAUCCAACAAAUUGAUAGAUUUAUAUUUAAAUAUCAAAUGCAAGAUACCAUGAUCUCUUAAAUCUUGUCCCAGUAUAAAAAAAAUGUGAGUAUAUGAACCCAUGAAGUGGUAUCAGAAUCUAUUUUCCUAUUAUUAUUAACUAAACGGAAAGCCAUAUCUUACUGCUUAUACUAUAAUAUUGGGAUUGAGUGGUACAAUGUCCAGAAUGCUUCUAAGGAUAACCAUAUGUCCAUAUCCAUAAGAUCUCAAUGGAUUGACCCUUACUACAGAAUCUAGCACAUCCUUAAGCUAGAAUAAAGUGCCUUCACUGAUUAAUCUAGCAUAUAUAUCUAAUUAUUUGAAAAUCUUUUCAAAUUUCAUUCCACCUUAUAUAAAGAUUUAAUACUUAAUAUUAUUUGAGAAUACAUAUAGAUUGCAAGCAUCGGCUUUUAGUGUACUUUUGAUGACAUGAAACUACCACAAAAUGGGUCCUAUCCGAGAGAGUGUUCUCUUUCUGUUCUGUUAUCACAUAGAACUGAAAUCUGUUCAGAGUACCCCUCCAAGAAAAUUGAUGCGGGCAGAAAGACAAUAAUAAAUACAGAAAAAACACAAGAAUUUUAAUGAGCGAAAUGGGCUGUUGAUGUGAACAUUAAGUUCACAGGUUUUAUUUUCUCUUAAAUAACAAUCAUCACUACAAGAUUUCACAGUUUUACUGACGGACCAAUUCCGUCGAUGUGUGAUUAGAAGUUCGUCGGUGAUUUUUUUACCGACGUCAUCACCGACGGAUUACGUCCGUCCGUCGGCAUUCCCUUCGUCGGUGAUUCCCCCUUCCAUCGCUAUAUCGAUUGGAAAAACAAAAAAAUCAUUUGCCGAUGGUUUUACAGAUGGAAUUUGCGCGCCAAAAAAAAAGAUUCCCGCUUGAAAUAUACCGACGGAUUUUUAUUCUGUCGGUGAUAUUGUAAUUGACCGACGGAAACUAUCCGUCGGUAAAUACGUCGGUGAGUGUAUGAAAUACCGAACGAAUAUAUUUGUCUGUAAAUUCGUCGGUACUGGUGGCAGUUACUGUUAAAUGCCGACGGAUUAAUUCCAUCGGUAAUUCUGUCAGUGAGUGUUUAAAAUACCGACCGAAUUAAUCCGUCGGUAAAAUCCUUGGUAAUAGUUUUUUUCUUAAUUUUUUUUAAAAAAACUAUUUAGGAUAUAUAAUAUAAAACUAUUUAAAUUAAUUGUAAUACAAACCAAUUAUGCAAAAAAAAAUUAUAUUAAACAUAAAAAAAACAAAGUUAAAUAAUAUUCAUUACAAACUGAAUAUGUUUCAAGAAAAAUAUUAAAUGAAGUUUUAAAGGUAAAUAAUGUUGAUUACAAAUUAAUAUAAAGGUGGAGCUGGAGGAGGAGGAGGAGGAGAUCCUGGAGGAGGCUGGUGAUUAUACGGCCAAAAAAGAUUAGGCGCACAUGUUCCACUAUUUGUCAUGUUCAUUAGCAUUUCGCGAAGUUGUUCAUAAGCCGCUUUUUGUUGUUCAUGAGCCGCUUCAUACUCCGUUUUUUGUUGUGCUUGAGACGCUUUGAGUUGCUCAGACUACGCUCUUUGUUCCGCUCUUUGUUGUGCAUGAGACGCUUUGAGUUGUGCGUACUCCGCUUUUAGGUGAUCGUAUUUCUCGGUGAGCUGAGCUGUGUGUUGCUGCAAGGCCACGAACUCCUUAGAUUGGGAGCUCGAUAUUGAUUGGGAGCUCCCAACGGUUGAAACACUACGGGUCGACCGCAAGUUGUCGGCCGUAGUGUUGGAGAGCCCGUAAACCCGAUUUUUAUCGGGUCCACUUGACAAGCCAACCUCCAUCCACAAAUCCGGAUCGAAUUUCGAAUGGGUCAAAAUAUUGUCCCCGUAUCUCUCCCUCAACCGAUUAUUAUAGGUCUCCUGAAAAUAAAAAUAAAAAAGUAAUCAUCAUAUUCAAUACAAUAAACAUAAUAACUUACAUAAUAACUUACAAAAUAAAAUGGUUGAACAAACAUACCACGAAAUGCUGAGCACGGUUAUCAACGAACUGUUGCGCCCCCUUCUGGCAGUCUUGACUCUGCACGUGCGUCUCCACAAACAGCUCCAUCGGGCUCAGCUUACGUCCAAGAGACGCAGCCUAUAAUGAAAAAAGAUAUAUUAACAACAACUGAAUUUAACGAUAUAUUUCAUUUAAAUUAAUCUUACCAUCCGUUUCGCAUGUGCAGCAAACGGAACGGAGCCGUCAGUGUGCGUUGUCACCCCGCCAUGAAUUGGCCGAUUCCGGUUGCCAGCACCGGACUGUGAGUGUCGUGUGAACCGUUCAGACGUCACGUGCUCAAGAUAGUGCGGCCAUAUAUCUUCCGGGAUGUAUAUCGGUUUGAAAUCCCUCCAAACCGCAACAUCGUUCCAGCCUUGGAAACCCCUAUCCCUCGCGGUUUUUUUUGCCUUUUUUUGUGCUUCAUACCAAAAAUCACGCAACCUACUUCACGCAACCAAAAAUUACAUUUCGAAACAUAAAUUUUUGGCUAAAAAAAAUCCUGUAUUGUUUUCGAUCUUACCUAGUUGCCGCGUGAUUUUCCCACACCCUCCUCACAACAGUGUUAUGCUCACUGUCCCAGCAGAAUUUGUGCUGUGUAUAAAUAAACAAGCUUAAAUAAAAAUAAUAAUUUAUUUACAAUUAUAUUAAUAAGCUGAAAAUUAUAAAUUAAUACCAACCUCAAACCUGUUAAACCAUGCAUUGAUUUGAGGCAUCCAUUCAGGAUGCUUGGAUAUCUGACUCCAUUGAAACAAUGGAAUCUCCAUCGACGAUUUAAACGCCGAUGAUAUUACUCGGGCGGCUUCAAUGUUUGUGAACCUGAAAAUAAAUGAAAUAAAUUCAAUAGUGAUUACUUCAUAAAUUAUGUUGUAAUUUUUUUAAAAAAAAACUAAAACCUUAACAAACUUACAUUGAAAGGUCGUCCUUCCAUUGUGCCUCGUACUUGCGGGUAAAUUGAUUCCGCUGCGAAGGCACGCCGUCUCUGCGCUAUGAAGUACCGCUAGAAGAGGCAGCAUCGGUUGACGGCGCAGGUGGUGUAGGUGCCUCUUCUUGAGAGGCACCUAAGGAAAUAUCAUCAUCGCUGCUAGACGAACUAGCUGUGACCGUACUUGAGCGACCAGCUCUGGUUUUCGUUCUACGCAUCUACACAAUUUGAUACAAAUAAUUAUAUAAUUAAAUUCAAAUGUAAAAAAAAAAUUUGACAGCACCUCCCCUAUACCGGAUACUACCCAAAUCCACAAACAUGCACAUAUUAACAAUAGCCACAACCAAUUUACCCAAUCUAUACUAAUUAUUCCAACAUAUUCAAUUACUAAUCCUAAGGUAAAUUCAACAUUAAGAAUUACAAUUCAAGUAAUUAUUCAAUAAUUAUACCAAUAUAACAAAACAAUAAAUUAAAAAAAAAACUCUAGAAUAACAAUCAAAAUAAAUGGAAAAAAUUAAACACAAAGCAUGCAAUAAUAGAGUAAAACUAAUAAUUAUUCCAACAUAUUCAAUUACUAAUUCUAAAAUAAAUUCAACAUUAAGAAUUACAAUUCAACAAAUUAUUCAAUAAUUAUGCCAAUACAACAAAACAAUAAAUUAAAAAAAAACUCUAGAAUAACAAUCAAAAUAAAUGGAAAAAAUUAAACACAAAUCAUGCAAUAAUAAAGUAAAAUUAAUAAUUAUUCCAACAUAUUCAAUUACUAAUUCUAUGGUAAAUUCAACAUUAACAAUAAAUAUUCAACAAAUUAACUAAUAAUAAUUAUGCCAAUACAACAAUAAAAAAUAUUCAGUAAAUUUAAAAAAAAAACUAUAGACUUUAGCAAUGAAUUAUGCAAAAAAAACUAUAGACUUUAUCUACAUUACAAAAAAUACACCAAAAAAAAAAACUAACCAAAAAAAUAGCAAAAAAAAACCAUUAGAAGAAACACUAACCUUUUAAACUGAUGGAGAUUCACGAUAAAAAAAGCUUGAGAUCGCCUGAAGAACGGAGAGAAGAACGGAGAGGAAAAGAAUGGUGAAAAACUGAGGAGAAGAGAAAAUGAACUGAAGAGGCGGUCGGGGGAGUUUAAAUGCCAAUUUUACCGACGGAUUCACCGACGUCUAUAAAAUUAAUUAUUAUUUUAAUUUAUUCCGUCGGUGAGGUGUUAAAAAUCCGUCGGUAAAUUUUGAAUUUCGCACCAAAUUUUUUAAUGGCCCUCUAUAUUUUUCGCAGUCCGUGGCAAAUCCGUCGGCAAUCUGACGCGGUCAGAGAUGCAUUUAAUGCACAACCCUUUGAUAUUCGCGCAGUCCGUCGGGAAUUGUGUCGGUAAAAUUGACAACGUACCGACGACUAUAUAUUCGUCGGUGUGGUCGUCGAUGAUAUGGUGGCAUUACCAGUAAUUAUUUUCGAACUCUCUGUGAAAUGCCGACGGAAUUAAGUCCGUCGGUGUGGUCGUCGGUGAUGUGGUGGCAUUUCAAGUAAUUAUUUCCUGUCACAAAAUAUAUCAUCCAUGAUCAAUAAUUAUUUCAAGUAAUUAUUUCGUAAUUGUGGCAUUUCAACUAAUUAUUUCAAGUAAUAAAUAUUUUGUGUUUCAAAAUAUAUCAUCCAUAAUCUAAAUUACAUGAAAAAAAGGGUUUUACAUAGGGCUUCAUUUUGGUAGUUAGUCAGAAUUUUCUUCUUCUUCGUCAUCAAUUGAAUUGUCAUCACCUUCAUCGCAAUCUUCAACAUGAAUAUCAUCUUCUUCAUCGACAUUUGCUUGUCCGCUAGAGCUCAAAACAAAAUUCAACUCCUCUGCAUCAACAUCAACAUGACUAUCAUCGAAAACACGAAAAUUUGAAUUUUCUUCCAAUUCAAUCGAAGGAGUAACUCGAUAUGGUUCAACCACCUCACUAACUUGAAAGACUUCAUCUCGCACACUUGUGUCUUCAUUCUCAUCCUGAACAACCUCGACACGACCCCGGGGUUUUGUUUUUAAAACGGACAACCAAUCCACUCUUGAUCGAUCCUUUCUAAAUGAAGGGGUGUAUGUGUAAUAAACUUGUUGACAUUGCUUUGCGAAAACAAAGACAUCGUUUAUGUUGCGGAGUCUAGCUUUUGAGUUGAUUUCGACCAGACCAUAGUGCGGAUCAACUCUGAUUCCUCUGUCAGUCGUGUCAUACCAAUAGCAUUUGAAUAAAAACACUAUAUUCUGCUCGUCAUGAUAUUGUAGUUCGACGACCUCUUCUAAUCUACCAUAGUAGUCAACUUCUAACUCACUACUAGUGGAUCCCUUAACACAAACACCGCUGUUGUAUGUCUUUCUUCCUUGCCCGUAUUCUUCAGUAUGGAAAACAUAUCCAUUGACAAAAUACCCGUUGUAGCACUUACAUUUUCUUUCAAGCCCCAGGCUUAGUGAAGACAAUGACUUAGGUGCACUCCUUCCCAUUUGAUAAACCUUGUAUGUAAUGUACAUCAAUAAAUAGUAAAUGAACGAGAAUCUCGUAAUGACAUGCAUACGUACAGUAAUUUUGCAAGUUAGAAUGAGUUUGUGAUAGUGCUUACAUGUGUUCUGAACCACGUGGCAAACUGCUCAUCUUGUAAUUGAAAGAUCUGGGAUUCGGUCAGCUGUGAGUUAUUGGAGAGCAAAUAUUGACGAUGUUGCCUGCAAGUGAUAAUGAGUGUAUGAUAUUACAAUAUAUAAUUAACAGUAUAUUACUAACAAAGUUUAAUUAGUAUAAACUUACUGAAUAAAAGGUCUCAGCUCAUCACACUUAAAUAGAACAUAGUUGUGUGCUUGUUUGAACUCUAUUUCCGACAAAUAUCUUCCUCUUACGGCAUUUUUAUGUGUGGGUCAUCCAGUAUUGGAGAAUAUUGACAAGUUCCCACUGGAUGGCACUUCACCGCCAUCAUCAUGCCGUGGACCGCGAUUGAUUCUCGUUCUCAGAUGAGGUUCGAAAUAGUACGAGAUAAAUGUUGAGAUCUCCUCAACAAUAUAGGCCUCACAUAUCGAAGCCUCAACAUGCGCCUUGUUCUUAACCUUUUUCUUGAGAUUAAACAAGUACCUGCAUUGAAAUAUUAAUCAAGUAUUUUCAAUUAAGAAAAACAUAUAAAAUACUUUUAUAUAUGAAUUACAUUGCAACUGUAAUAUCUAACCGUUCGAAUGGGUACAUCCAUCUAUAUUGGAUCGGACCUCCAGCUUUUGCCUCGAACGGUAGAUGUAUAGGGAGAUGCUCCAUUGAGUCAAAAAAUGAUGGAGGGAAUAUCAUCUCAAGUUUGCAUAGUGUCUCGACGAUAUUCGUUUGAAGCCUCUCAAUGUGAUCAACAUUCAACUUGCUGGAGCAUAUAUCUCUGAAGAAAUGACUAAUCUCCGUGAGUGCAUCCCAUAUUCCCUUUGGCAACAAAUCACGAAAAGCUAAUGGGAUGAGUGUUUGCAUAAACACGUGGCAGUCAUGACUCUUCAUUCCAUACAAUCUGCAGUCCUCUAUAUUAACCAGCCUUGAUAUGUUCGAUGCAUGUCCAUCCGGAAAACGCAGACUCUUAAGUCAUUUGUAGACUAGCAGUUGUGCGUUUUUCUCUAACACGAAGCUUGCUCUUGGUUUUGCAACCCGUGACUCAUCAUAAACCAACUCCAUAUUUUUACGGUUACAGUAUAAAGCUAUAUUCAAUCUAGCCUUGAUGUUGUCCUUUGUCUUCCCCUUCACAUCCAUGACGGUGUUGAAAAUGUUCUCAAACAUGUUCUUUUCGAUGUGCAUGACGUCAAGGUUAUGGCGGAGCAGAUUGGUCUUCCAAUAAGGAAGCUCCAAAAAGAUACUUCGCUUUACCCAAUUAUGGGUCAAACCAAAACCAGGAAACUUUUGCUUACCUGAUUGAAGGCCAAACACAAUGUCACCGUACUCUGAGACAACAUCAUGCAAUUCUUCACUAGAAAGACGCAGGGAUGCAACAUCUUUUUCAACUCUGCCAACAAAGAAAUCUUUUUUGUUCUUUCUGUACCUGUGAUGAAGUGGCAAGAAGCGACGGUGACAGUAAAAAAAAGAAGCUUUACCUCCAUUUGCUAGCGUGAAUGCCUUGUUGUUUUCCAUGCAGUAUGGACAUGCGAGUUUCCCAUGCGUGCUCCAACCAGAAAGCAUUCCAUAAGCUGGAAAAUCAUUGAUAGUCCACAUCAAUGCCGCCCUCAUAAGGAAAUUUUGUUUCCUCGAUAUAUCAUAAGUCAGAGCUCCGGAGGACCACAACUGCGCCAACUCAUCAAUCAACGGUCGAAGACAAACAUCUAUAUUCCGCCCCGGGCUUCUUGGACCGGGUAUGACAGUAGAUAAAAACAUGAACUCCGGCCUCAUACACAUUCCCGGUGGCAAGUUAUAAACUGUGAGUAUGACCGGCCAACAAGAAUAAGGAGCAGCAAAUGACCCAAAUGGGUUGAAUCCGUCUGUACACAACCCAAGACGCACAUUCCUUGAUUCAGCUGAAAAGUGAGGAUGAACACUGUUAAAGCGUUUCCACGCUUCGCCGUCAAAAGGAUGAACCAUCACUCCAUCAACCGCAUGGUGUGCUUGGUGUCAUGUCAUGUGCUCAGUAGUCCUUGGUGACAUGAAUAACCUCUGCAGUCUAGGUGUGAUCGGGAAGUAUCUAAGUUUUUUAUAUGCCACUAGAGUCUUUUCCCUGCUAGUUCUAGGUUUGUAACGGGAAUGCCCGCAUGUCAUGCACUUGGUCAUCUCAGCAUUUUCAAGGUAGUAUAACAUGCAGAAGUUAGGGCACAUGUCAAUUUUUUGGUAUCCUAAACCGAGGGGUUUCAUCAUGGACUUCGCAGCAUAGAAGUUCUCUUUCAGCCUGUUCCCUUCAGGUAAAAUGCUUCUCGCCCAUUCAAUAAUCUUGUCAUACUCGGCCUCACUCAACCCGUGAUCUGACUUGAUGGUGAACAUUUGUGCUACGACCGAUAAUUUACUGUGGUUCGUGCAGCCAUCCCAUAAUGGUUCGUUAGAAUCUUUCAACAAAUCAAAAAACCUAGCUGCAUCUGCAUUAGGUUCUUCUUCUACGAUUGGACAUUGACUGCCAUUACCUUGAUUCAUUCUCAUUGCAUCCAUAACCAUAUUUCUGUAAGGAUAAGUGUUGUCAUUUGCCGCUUCAUGCACGUUGCUAGCACUAGAAGUAGACCCAACCACCAUUUCUUCCAUUCUCCUCUUACUACCAAAUACUUCUCCAUAUGCAUACCAACACUGGUAAUUCUCCAUAAACCCUUUGUGUAGAAGAUGCAUCAUUACAACAUCUGGAUGCAGAUACUUUUUAUUUUCACACUUCCUGCAUGGACACCUAAUACCGCCUCCAAUAAAAUUUCUAGGAAUAGAUGUUGCGAAAUUAAUAAAACCCUGAACCCCGUUACAAUAAUCCAUCCUCCGCAAUCCUUGGGGUGAAUCUCGAUACAUCCAUGAACGAUCAUCCAUGACUUAUAUCGAACCUCUAUAAAAUUAUGAUGACAUCAUGUAUUAAUUAACUAAGUUAGGUAAAUAAACUUGCAAAAAUAUUACUUUACCUCGAGAUUAUCCAACAAACCAAUCACAACUUCUCAUAAAUAUUAAAUAUUCAUUAUUAUUUAUCAACGUCCAUACGAAUUAAAAUAUAUAAAUUUACAGAAAUUACCACUCCGCAAUACCAUUGAUAAAACUUUAAACGGACCCAUUAAGCAAGCUAUUAAUUAUUUCAAAAUAGCACAUGUAAUUCAUAUACUAACAAAAUACAUUUACUAAAAAAACAAUAAAAUUCACAUUUAAUUAAAUGUUAAAAUUUAAAAAGAUAGAAUUACUUACAAAAAUUGAUAAAAUCCAUCGGUAAAUCAGAACACGGAUGCUGUGACCACAAAACUUCAAGAAAUAUAACUUGUUGUGCUGAUAUGAGGAAGAUUUUUUUUUGGGGGGGGAGGGGGGGCUGGUUGUUUGCAGAUGGGGAGAGUUGGGAUUAGGAAGAAGAAGGAGAAAUAGGGGAGGAGAGGGUCAGCAGAGCUGACAUGUAUAUAUAUUAACUUUUUCCAACGGUUUCACCGACGGACACUCCAUCGGUGAUUCUGACGGACACAUAGACACGUCACCAUACGGAUCUGCCAUUUCAAAUCCCUCGGUGAGUCCGUCGGCAAUUUAAACGGCGAACCGGUCACGUCACUGUACGGGCUGUCGUUUUGAUUUCGUCGGAACAAAAUAACCCGCCAAAACCUCCACGUCAGUGACCCGCCUUUUUUUUAAAUUCGGAAACUUUUUCGUCCGUAAUUCAGUCGGUAACUACCGACGGAAAUUUUCCGUCUGUAGUUACCGACUGAAUUACGGACGGAAAAUGGUCCGUCGGUAGUUACCGACUGAAUGACAGACGGAAAAGUGUCUGUCGGUAAUUUCGACCUCAAAUUACCGACAUAAAUAUUUCGUCUGUAAAUCCGUUGGUAUUUAACGAAUUUCUGGUAGUGGAACUAAGCAUAUUGAGAUCGAUUAUCAUCUUACUCGUCAUCAUCUCAAGCAUGGAACCAUUGCUUUGCCUUUUGUUCCUUCUUCCUUGUAGAUUGCAGAUUUCUUUACCAAGGCGCAUUUCAUCUCUCGUUUUCAUUUUCUGGUUGGCAAACUCUCAAUGCUUGUAGCUGCCGCAUCGUGAGUUUAAGGGAAGAUGUUAAAUAACAUUUAUGUAGUCUUGUUUAUUAAGGGUAGAAUAUUACUUUCAGUUUAACCUAUAUAUACUUUAUUUGUUUUUAGGUUAAGACUAAGCACUCAUAAUAUACAGAUUAUUCAGAAUUCUAGCCUCCCUUUUGUGUUUGAUCUUAAUUCAUUUUAACAAUGCUAUUUGUUGAAGUUGUUGCCAGCCUUCAAAAGGUCACUCGAUCUCAUUUUAGAAACUGAUUUCUCAAACAUGGAAACCUGGAAUCUCAAAAUCUUCUUAAUCAGUACAUUCCUAGUGAACAAGUAUGUCAAGGAGAAAUAAAAGGAUUGUCAAUGCAUUUUUCCAGACUAAAGUUGAGUUUAAGGACAUUCAAAAAGGUACAGUUUGCAAGGCCCGGGGGGAUUUCCCCUGAGAAAUUGUUGGAAGAGAGGUAGAGAGACGUGGCAUACUGAAUUAUUUUAGAGAUAUUUUGUGGAAUAGAUCCAAAGAGCUCAUUGCUGGAGAGAUCUAUGCCCGUUAUGCUUGUGCAGUGUUUAAGGCCAAGAGGGAACCUGCCCUUGAGACCCAUAUCCGGAAGUCUGAUAUUCAACACCCUAUUCUCACUAGGAUCGAUGCCACCAUUCAACCCCCAAAAAGGUACAAAUGAAUCCUUCAGUAGAAUUCUCAAAGUUCCAAGAAGAGUUCGAGUAAUUAUCAGGGAAAGGUUUAGCCAGGUUGAGCAACAAUAGUGGUCACGGCUGCAACAAAGUUGUCACUGGCAGCAGCGUUGUGGGCAACAAUGUUGCUGGCACGAGUCAUGAACGUUUCUGUCCAUGAUGGUUAAUUCCUUGAGAUUGUUGGUAAGGACACAAUGGAGGAACAACAUUAAAGAUACUAUCUUUAAAGAUAUUUCCUCUAAAAAAAAAUUAUAUUUAAAAAUUAUUAUUAUAAACAAAAAACACUCAAAAAGUAUAGGUUUUACCUCGUAUAUAAAGGAAACAAAGAUUUUUUUCUUGCUCAACCCAACCUUAAACCUAUUAGAUUUAAAUAUUUCAACUUAAAAAAAAAUAUUAUACAUUUAAUUGGAAUAAAAAUCUUUUAAAUAACUUCUCAAAUUAUAUUAUAUUAUUUACAACAAAUUUUUCAAACCAUUGCAGUAAUUACAAUUCAAAUUAAAUUAUAAAUUAUUAAAUAUUAUUUUAAUAUAUUUUUAAAUAAAAAACAUUUUAAAAAAUAAAAAAAUACUCCUGAUAUACCCUGCUAUGCAGCUCUGCCGCUUGGAAAAUGAGCUAGAAAAGGUUACGGGAGGAGAAAGCAAUGCAAAUUCAUUUGAACAGCCUCCAUGAUUUUCAUUUUUGCAAUUAAUAGAAAAUUUAAAAUAAUUAUGAAAAAUCAAUGUAACUUCCCUCAUAUAUAUAUAUAUAUAUAUAUAUAUAUAUAUAUAUAUAUAUAUAUAUAUAUAUAUAUAAUCCGGGAUGUUCGGGUCAGCUUACGCGUACCACGAUUUAUUUUUGGAUCCANNNNNNNNNNNNNNNNNNNNNNNNNNNNNNNNNNNNNNNNNNNNNNNNNNNNNNNNNNNNNNNNNNNNNNNNNNNNNNNNNNNNNNNNNNNNNNNNNNNNAUUCUUCAAGGAUAGUUUAAUGUUUUAAAAGUAUAAAAUUUAAAAGAAAUUUUAAAAAAGUAAUUAGGAUUUCUGUUUUGAAUACUUCAAGUAUAAUUCAAACUUUUAAAUUUACAAAAUUUAAAAGAAAUUUUAAAAAAGUAAAUAGAAUUUCUGUUUUGGAUUCUUCAUGGAUUGUUUAAAUGUAUUAAAAUUAUAAAAUUUAAAAGGAAUUUAAAAAAAGUAAUUAGGAUUUCUGUUUUGGAUUCUUCAAGGAUAGUUAAAAGAUUUAAAAUUAUAAAAUUUAAAAGAAUUUAAAAAAAGGAAUUAUGAUUUCUGUUUUUGAUUUUUCAAUGAUAAUUAAAAGUUUUAAAAUUAUAAAAUUUAAAAGAAUUUAAAAAAAGGAAUUAGGAUUUCUGUUUUGGAUUCUUCAAGGAUAGUUUAAAUGUUUUAAAAGUAUAAAAUUUAAAAGAAAUUUUAAAAAAGUAAUUAGGAUUUCUGUUUUGAAUACUUCAAGUAUAAUUCAAACUUUUAAAUUUACAAAAUUUAAAAGAAAUUUUAAAAAAGUAAAUAGAAUUUCUGUUUUGGAUUCUUCAUGGAUUGUUUAAAUGUAUUAAAAUUAUAAAAUUUAAAAGAAAUUUAAAAAAAGUAAUUAGGAUUUUUGUUUUGGAUUCUUCAAGGAUAGUUAAAAUAUUUAAAAUUAUAAAAUUUAAAAGCAUUUAUAAAAAGUAAUUAGGAUUUCUGUUUUGGAUUCUUCAAGGAUAGUUAAAAGAUUUAAAAUUAUAAAAUUUAAAAGAAUUUAAAAAAAGGAAUUUGGAUUUCUGUUUUGGAUUCUUCAAGGAUAGUUUAAAUAUUUUAAAAGUAUAAAAUUUAAAAUAAAUUUAAAAAAAAUAAUUAGGAUUUCUGUUUUGGAUUUUUCAAGGAUAAUUAAAAGUUUUAAAAUUAUAAAAUUUAAAAGAAUUUAAAAAAAGGAAUUAGGAUUUCUGUUUUGGAUUCUUCAAGGAUAGUUUAAAUGUUUUAAAAGUAUAAAAUUUAAAAGAAAUUUAAAAACCAAAUUAUGAUUUUUGUUUUGGAUUCUUCAAGGAUAGUUUAAAUGUUUUAAAAGUAUAAAAUUUGAGAGAAAUUUUGCAAAAGUAAUUAGGAUUUCUGUUUUGAAUACGUCAAGUAUAAUUCAAACUUGGAAAUUUACGAAAUUUGAAAGAAAUUUUGAAAAAGUAAAUAGGAUUUCUGUUUUGGAUUCUUCAUGGAUUGUUUAAAUGUAUUCCAAAUAUAAAAUUUAAAAGAAAGUUUAAAAAAGUAAUUAGGAUUUCUGUUUUGGAUUCUUCAAGGAUAGUUUAAAUGUUUUAAAAGUAUAAAAUUUAAAAGAAAUUUUAACAAAAUGACUAUGAUUUCUGUUUUGGAUUUUUCAAUGAUAAUUAAAAGUGUUAAGAAUUAUAAAAUUUAAAAGAAAUUUAUAAAAAGUAAUUAGGAUUUCUGUUUUGGAUUCUUGCAAAGAUAGUUAAAAGAUUUAAAAUUAUAAAAUUUAAAAAAAGAAAUUAGGAUUUCUGUAAACCCCCGUAAAUAAAAAUAAAUAAUAAUAAUAAUAAAAAAAACACAUAGGAUCGAAGUAAUGACAUUUCGAUGAGUAAUGGAUAUUCGGUAUGAAAGAAAUGAAUAAAUAGUAGGGAUGACAAUAAAUGUGUCAUGUGAGAGAGAGAAUGAUCUCCAUAAACAAAUUUAAAGAUAUUGUUGAAGUCGAAAAGAGAGUCAUGAUUUUUAGUUUAAAACUUGUAACGUUAGCGAAACUAGUGACGAGUUUUAAUGGAUAAAAGAAUAAGAAAAAAAAAACCAGAAGAUAUGUAAACCCGGGUCAAAACACGUAUUUUGACAAAUUAAUGAUAAAUGUGGUAAUAUUGAAUUUAUUGAGUAUAAAUUAAGAGGAAAUGUCACGAGGAUCUAAGUAAAUAAAUUAAUGCGUGAAAUUCAGAUUUUAGCGUAAAAGACAUUGAUUGUCUAGUUUUACGGUAUCGAUGAUAUAUCUCAAUCCGACCGUUGGAUCGGGCUGAAAUUUUAUAAGGAAUCUCCAGACAUAUUAUUUUAUAUUAGGUUCAAAUUUCGUGUCAAUCGGAGUUUGGGAAGGAUUUGCGAGAGCACUGAAAAUCGGGUAAAUUGAAGAAGAUGACACAAAGGGCAUUAAUAAGGGCUUUUUUGUAAUUUUAUCAAAACAAAUACUCUCCUCUCCUCUCUUUAAAAACAGAGCACGUCCUCUGCAAAUGGAAAAACAGGAGGGAGACCAUUUGUUUUGUCCCAUUUUCUUCAUUUUCUCUUCAUUUCUUCAAGCUAAAUCAAAAGGGAGUGUGCUUAGGAGGAUUAUAUCCAAGAAAACAAAUUAAAUGACAACUUAGAGAGUUAUAGAGCUUGAGAGAAACAAAGAGAAGAAGCUGGAAAUUGGAAGAGGAGGACAUGAUUUUUGUAAAUUUUUGCAAGAAUUCAUUGAAAUAAGUUAAAGUAGCAAAGGUAAGCAACAUACCCUUUAGUAAUUUCGUUUUUCUCUCUUGUUCUUGCAUGAGGAGAAGAAAACCUCCAAGUUUAAAAUUCUAGGGUUCAUGUAAAUAUUUUGGGGGAGUAAUUGUUCAUGUGAAUUUCAAGAUUAAUUGCAUGAUAAUGGCUUGAUUUGCUGAAAAAUAGAAGGAAUAAAUUGAUUUGAAACUAUGGGUUUUGGGAUUGCAACAGGGCAGGAACUUCGGCAGCCAUAUUUUGACUUUGCACCGUUGGAUUAGAUUGAAUUUUGGAUAUGUUAUUAUACUCAAUGUCACCUACAUUCUGACCGGAGGGAUUGCAAAUAUCCGAUUUCGUUUGAGGGCUGUCACCGGAGGAACAUUUCUGGAAAAUCACCCUUCAAGACAGCUUUGUUCGUCGGCCGUUAUAUCAUCGUUUCACCGUUGGAUUGGUCUGGAUUUUGGACAUGUUAUUCAUCCAGAUGUUAUAUAAAUUCUGAACGGUUUGGAUCGGAAAAGAACACUCCUACCAGAAAUUAUACUUCCCGAACAGCAGGUCUCCAAAUUUCAGGUCAGUCCAGUAUUGUUCUGAUAUCGGGAGGUUUAACCGUUGGAUGUAUGUUAAUUUUGGAUAUGUUAUUCGAAUGAUGAUGAUGUAUAAUUCCACCGUUUGGAUUUAUUGAAUUCUAAAUUUACAGAAUGAUGUUUUAAGUUUGGUUUGAGAAAUAUUGAAUGAGAAUAUGAGGUUUAGCAUAAAAAGUAUGUUUUGGGACUAAGGAUAAUGGCAAUGGGUUUAAUGAUGAUGGUUGUGUUUGUGUUAUGUUUGAGUCAUGUUUGAUGUGUUGAUAAGUGAUGAUAUAGUUAAAUUCUAUAAAGAAUAGUGAUUGACUAAUACUUUGGUUGUGUUAGAAUGGGAAAUCAUGUUGUAAAUUUUGACCAAAACCAUAGCAGGGUAUGACCCCCAGGGUGUAUGGCUGCUGGGUUUGGCUGUGCAACCAUACCCAAUAUCCUUGGGUAUGGUUGCGCAGCCAAACCCAACACCUUUGGAGGGUAUUGGGUCCUGCACCUGAUCAAAAUAGCUAUAGUAUAAGUAAUCCAUCCUAGGGACAUCGGCAUAGGAAGAUUGAAAAAAAAAAAACAAAACGAUUGAUUUCCUUUGGUAGAUGGAUUGGAAAUCCAUGUUAUCACGUAUGUGAGAAUUCAACCCCCCGUACCUCUCUAUAUCUCUGUACAUCGUAAAUAUAUAUAUAUAUAUCUUUUUCACUACAGUAUAACACCACCAUUGAAUAUUAAUGCAAGAUCAUUGAUCAAUAAGGACGACUGGCUUCCAGACCCACCAACCAUACCCAAUUAAAUUUCUUUGUCGUUGCCUUCUCUGAUUUAAAUUUAUGUUUCAAAAUAAAUUGAUGAGAUUUUUUUUUAUAUUGUAUAAAAGUUGAGUGAUAAUAGUUUUUCCCAUUUUAGGUUGGGUUGAAUUUCCUAAUUAAAUCAUGUCUGAUUUUGCAUUUCGAAAAUUCCUUGAAAAGUUUUUGAUAAUUUUUAAGUUUUUUUUCUUUGCUUGAAAUUAAUAUUUUUGUUAUGCUUUUGUAUUUUUUUUUUUAAAAUAUGUUGAGAUUAUGUCUGGCUGCGAUGCCAAACCCAAGAAAUUUUAAAAUUUUUAAUUUUUUUCUUUACUUCAAAAUAUUAUUUUCUCCAUGUUUUUGUAUUAUUUUUUAAAUAUUUUUUUUAAAAAUAUAUUGAGAUUGUGUCUGGUUGAGAGGCGAGACUCAAGAAAUUAAAAAAAAAUUAUUUUUUUCUUUACUUCAAAUUAAUUUUCGUUUGAUAUUUUUUUCUUCACUUCAAAUUAUUUAGAUCAUGUUUGAUUUUGCAUUUCAAAAAUUCUUUGAAAUUGUUUUGACAAUUUUGAAGUUUUUUUUCUUUACUUCAAAUUAAUUUUUUUUUUAUGUUUUUGUUUUUUUUUAAAUGUUGGCAUUGUGUUUGUCUGCGAUGCUAGACCCAAGAAAUUUUCAAAUUUUAAUUUUUUUCUUUCCUUCAAAAUAAUAUUUUUUUUCAUGUUUUUAUAUUUUUUUUAAAAUAUAUAUUUUAAAAAAAUAUUGAGAUUUUGUCUGGCUUGUUUUUGGGGCCUCUAAACCCAAGGGCAGUUAGAACAGACCUCGACGGUGGGUCUGCACCCAGCGCACUGGUCCAGAGGCCAGGAGCGCGGGGUUGCAGACCCUGCCUCGCGGGUCUGCAAACCCUAGGGUCGCAAGGUUGCACACUCGCUCGCACUGGAAUGCAGCCAGGCGCGCGGGUCUGCCCUACCACCUAAGGCAUGGCAGGCCCCGUGCCAGGUGUCUGCAUGCUAGGGCCUUGGCCAACCCUUGUGCCAAGUGGCAGCAGCCUAGAGCACGAGCAGGCGCACGUGGUCUGCCCCACUCCCAGGCCUGACAGCCUAAGCGCCAAGUGUCCCCAGCCUUAUGGGUUGUGCGUCCAGCGAGGCACUUGGGGCCUACACUAAUAUUUUUUUCAAAAAUUAUUUUUUAACAAUAAUAAUAAUAAUAAUAAUAUUUGUUAUUAUAUUUUUUUUUUGCAAUUUCCUUCUAUUUUUAAUAUUAAUACAAAUAAUAAUAUUUAUUAAUAAUAUUUUUUUUAACAUUCAAAGAAAUUAAAAAUAAAAAUAUUUAGAAUAAAAAUAAAAAUAUUUAGACUACAAAUAAUAAUAUUUAUCACAUAUAUAUAUAUAUAUAUAUAUAUAUAUAUAUAUAUAUAUAUAUAUAUAUAUAGCCGGAAGAAAUUAGAAAAAUAAUAGGAGUCUGGAGCGGUCAGAAAAUGGUUAGAAAAAUUGAUUAAGGAGGUUAAAAAAUACAAAGAUUGAAAUUUUGACAAUAUAUACUUGAAUGAUGAGAGCCCUGUUGGAAAAGAAAAUUCAAUUUGAGGAGAAAAGUACAAAAUUAGAUGUUUAUGGACUCAAUUGGAUUUUAUUGAAGGUUUAAUUGAAUUUAUAGAGGGUUUGAUUGCAAGAAAAAUUGUUUUUUAAGUCAAUUUGGGCUUUAAUUGGAAGAAAUUAAAGUUCUGGGGUCAAAUUAUAAUUUUUAAGAGUUGAUUUGGUCAAAUUAGGGGCUUAAUUGCAUAAAUAUUGAAGUUUGAUGGCCAAUUAGGGACUUAAUUGAAGAAAUCCGAAACCAAGGACCAAACUAGAAAAGGCGCGUAAAUAGAGGGGCUGUAAUUAACCAAAUCAGGGCUUAAAUUAAAGAAAUUGGAAGUUUAUUGAUCAAUUGAGGGUCAAAUUGUAUAAAUCGGAAACCAAGGACGAAAGUGGAAAAGGCGGCCAACUAUAAGGGCGGCGAUUGAAGUUGGCAGGGAUUCAAUUGAAAUGAACAAAAGAUAAAUUAAGGACUGAUUUGGAAGUUGACGUGUUGGCGCCAUAUUUAAAUGAAACGGCGCGUUUUGUCCAAAACGACGCCGUUUCAUGUUGAAAAAAAAUAUAACAGAACGGUGUCGUUUUGAGAGACACUGUUCCUCCUUCUUCUUCCCCUGGACGCGCAGCAGGGGAAGAAAGAAACUUUUGUUUUUUCUUCUUUAAUUCUUCAUGCCUAUCUCCCUCCCCGCGUGCUUUGCCAAACAUCCGAAGCCCGAUGCCCCCUCAUAAUGAGAAACUAGCAAAGACGUGCCCAGCAAACCGAGCCCGUUGGUCACCUCAACCGGCGUCGUGACAGGGCAGUAAAGCCCUGCUCCCCAUGCGCAGCAAUAGGGCGGCAAUAGGGAUGCCCCCGCUCCCUUUGCCCUAUAUAUACCACCCAACGCCAGCACAUGACAAAAAAAAGACAGAGGACGAAAAAGAAAACGAGAGGAAAAGAAAAGGAAAGCAGACGGUGGAGAGAGAGAGAGAGAGAGAGGAAGACGAGUUUGAAACAGGGGAGGGUUUGAGAGUAAAAAAAAACAGACAGAGAGGAACAAAAAGAAAGGUAAACAUAGCAGCAGAAGAGGAAAGAAAACGAAGGAGAAGGGAAGAGCAGUAACCUCUCGCUCCGCCGUUUGUAACAGCGACACCGCCACCGGCCUCCACCGCAGCACCGCCAGCGAAGCAGCCAGACCAGCAAGGCACCUCCUCCUCCGCGUCAGGUAACUUUUCUUUCCCCUCCCUUUUUACUUCAUUUUGGGCAUAAGUUUCUCCUGCAUGCAGAAUGAAUAGCGUUCUGCAUGCAGGAGGAGGAGGAGAGGGGGAAAAUAAUUCCCCCUCCCUGUUUUUUCUUUCUGGGCCAGGCCGGUUCUGGCCCAGCCCUUAUGUCUGGGCCGGGUCCGGCCCGGACCCAAAGAAGCAGAGAGAACUGUUGGGCCGAGAUCGGCCUAACCCUUUUGGGCUGAGGCCGGCCCAGUUAACUGGGCGACCCAGCCCACACAAUUAUAAUAUUAUAUAUUAUAGUAUAUUAUAUUAUAUAUAUAUAUAUAUAUAUAUAUAAUUUUUUAAAAAACAAAUUCUAAAAAAUCCUUAAAAAUUUUGUUGAUUUUUCUGCAUAUUUUUUUUAUCAAAAUUAUUUAAUACUAGUUUGUAUUUUUAUACCGUAAAGAUACAGAUCCAGUAUUAAAACAUCCGGUUUUCGUCAAAACAUUGCAAAAAAUUUAUAUAAAAUAAAAAAAUAUUUUGUUUUUCAUGCAUACGGCCAAGUAUUUCAAAGAUAAGAAAAAUCAUCACAUCGUAUUUUCAUACAAAAAAAAAUCAUAUUGUUUUUUUAUACAUAAAACACAAAAUAUUCAAAAAUAUGUUUUAGCAUGCACUUUGGCUUUAAUAACAAGUUUGUUAGAGCCAUGAGAACUAGGCCAAUAUUUCAAAAAUUCUAAAAAAAUAUUUUUGUCUUCUUUUAGUAUCUGGGAUUACGAAUUUAUACGUAAAACGUAUUCCUGAUAUUAAAAAUGUAGUUUUCUUAUAUAGGCGUUAGAACGGUUAGAUUUUUACCCGAUAAGAUAAGGACCUCUUUACUGAGGAGGACUUUUCUUGAACUAUAGACGGACCAACAAUUAGAAAUACAAUAGCACCUUAGCUUUUUAUCAGACAAUCAAACAAUGCAGCUUACCUUAGGUAAGGCGUAUUUGGGGUGCUAAUACCUUCUCUUUAUGCAAUCAAUCCCCGUACUCGAUCUCUGAGACCAGUUAGAGUUCCUAGUGACCAAAAUACUAGGUGGCGACUCCCAUUCUAUUUUCCACCGAUAAAAGACAAGAUUUUCUUGUCUCCCCAUAUUUGCCACAUAGAUAUACAUUUAGAUUGAAGUGGAAUAUUCAUCACGACGCCGCACACGUGUGACAAUAUUAAGAAUAAUAUCUACAGUAAUAAAUUUUUUAUGUUAAUUAACAAUGAGACAAUAAUAAUAAUGAUAAUUGCUAUUGUAUUUUUUCCCCCUACAGGGUCUGCCGAUCCAGCCAUGCGAGCCUCUAAACCCAAGGGCGGUUAGAACAGACAUCGGCGGUCCGGUCUGCACCCAGUGCGCGGGUCAUGAGGCUAGGAGCGCGGGGUGCAGACCCAACCUCGCGUGUCUGCAGACCCCAGGAUUGCGGGGCUGCAGACCCGCUUGCCGUGGGGCUGCAACCAGGCGCGCGGGUCUGCCCCUAGCACCUAAGGCGUGGCAAACCCCGCGCCAGGUGUCUAUAUGCUAGGGCCUCGGCCAGCCCUAGCACCAGGUGACAGCAUCCUGGGGCGCGCGCAAGCGCGCAUGGCCAACCCAACGCCCAGGCUAGUCAGCCCAAGGGGGUGUGCGUCCACCUAGACGCUUGGGGCGUGCAAUAAGAUUUUUUUCAAAAAAUGUUUUUUAAAGAAUAAUAAUAAUGAUAAUUGUUAUUAUAUUUGUUUUUUCCAAUUUUCGUCUAUUCUUAAUAUUAAUACAUUUAAUUAAAAUAAUAAUAAUAAUAAUAACAGUAAGAAUACAAAUAAUAAUAUUAUCAUAUUAAUAAUAAUAUUAAACUUGUUUGACCAAAGUUGAUACAAUAUUAAUAAUAAUAUGAAGCUUGCUUGACCAAAGUUAAUACAAUAUUAAUAAUAAUAUUUAUCACAUAUUUUAUCAAAUUAUUUAUAAAUAAUAAUAUAUUUUUUAUGUUUGAAAAAUCCAUUUUUUAUAUACUCACAUCAAAAAAUUCAUUCGUGUAAAAAGGAAAUAAUAAUAUUAACUAUAUAUGCAUAUCCAUAAGAUCUCAAUGGAUUGCCCCUUACUACAGAAUGUAGCACAUCCUUAAGCUAGAAUAAAGUGCCUUCACUGAUUAAUCUAGCAUAUCUAAUUAUUUGAAAAAAAUUUCAAAUUUCAUUUCACCUUACAUAAGAAUUUAAUACUUAAUAUUAUUUGAGAAUACAUAAAGAUUGCAAGCAGCGGCUUUUAGUGAACUUUUGAUGACAUGAAACUGCCACAAAAUGGGUCCUAUCCGAGAGGGCGUUCUUUUCUGUUCUGUUAUCACAUAGAACUGAAAUCUGUUCACAGUACCCCUCCAAGAAAAUGGUCUCUCAAGGUAAGUCCUGAGGAAUUUGACACAAAUAAAACGAUAUAUCUUGUCCCAGUAUCAAAAAAAUGUUAAAAAAUGUGAGCAUAUGAACACAUGAAGUGGUCUCAGAAUCUAUGUUCCUAUUAUUUUUAACAAUACGGAAAGGCAUAACUAACUGUUUGUACUAUAAUAUUCUUUGGUAUAUUUAUUACCGAUGGACUCACUAGCAGACCAUAAAUUAUUGACGAGAGUUUUUUCGACGGACUGUCUCCAUCCGCGUGAGCCUGUCAACAAAAUACAUACCAAUGAACUGUGAGUGUGAAUAUCGACAAAAUUUUCUGUUAGUAAAACUGUUAAAUUUGGUAGUGAUCGCUUGAUCCGCCACUAGAAGUGAUGACAAGUUAUGACCAUUUUAAGUUGUUAUUCUGGUCUGACACAAUUAGACCUUCUCUUGGACCUAGACUUGUCCUACUAGUCUAUAAAUAUAUAUGUUAGAACAUCCAUAUCAUCUGUCUAGAGCAGAUACUAAUCUAAUUGUGACAGACCCACAUAUGGCAGCUCAGAAUCAUCUGUUAUCGCAAACCCAACUACAUCAUUAAUGGUCUCUCAAGGUAAGUCAUGAGGAAUUUGAAGCAUAUAAAACGAUAUAAGUUGUCCCAAUAUCAUAAAAAUGUUUUAAAAAAAUGUGAGUAUAUGAACCCAUGAAGUGGGAUCAGAAUCUAUGUUCCUAUUGUUAUUAACAAAACGGAAAGCCACAACUAACUGUUUGUACUAUAAUAUUGGGAGUGAGAGGUACAAUGUCCAGAAUGCUUCUAAGGAUAACCAUAUCCAUAAGAUCUCAAUGGAUUGCCCCUUACUGCAGAAUCUAGCGCAUCCUUAAGUAAAUAAAGAAAGCUAGAAUAAAGUGGCCUCAGUGAUUAUUUAGCAUUAUUAAGUAGGCCAAGUACUCUUCACUGCUUAUUUCCUAAUAAUUCCUUACUGUGGAAUUGCACUUACAAAUAAAGAACUUGUUCUUGAUAUUUUCGUACGGAAUUUCGUUUAUUCGGAUUAAUUUGAGGUUAACUAGAAUAAGAAAUAAAGAUAUAGGUUUUGGAAAGAAUAGAAAAAAAGAUUAUCAAAAGAAAUUAGAAAGGAAAAGUUAGUUAUAUGGAAUCAGAUUCACCAUUAAACUAAAGAGUCGGAAGGAAUCAUUUGUUCAAUAAUUGAAUGCGAUUUUUGUCUUAUAUAUAUUUUAGGAACUUUGCACUCGAUCGAAAGGGAACAUUUGUGCCACCAAGUACUAACAAUAACUGUCCAUAGUUUUGCAUGCAUAGACACUUUUUUUCCCGGUGUUAAUAGAUAUUUUCGGACCAACUUGAAAGCAAUUAUUAGAGAUAUCAAUUCAAUCUGAAUUCAAUAUGCAUACAUAUAUAUUACUUUUUUUUAUUUUAUAUUAAAUAUUAAAUAAUGUUUAGGAAAUAAAAAUCUAAAUGGAUCGAUGAAUAUAAUAUUAGUUUCUAAAUGAUGCAACAUAGCUAGAAGAAACUGAAGGUUAUGAGUGGACCUGAUAUAGCUAGAUGAGGGUCAAACCACCAACAAAUUACAUAGAUGACUUAACAUUUAUUUUUAUGGUUUAAUAAGAUAGGAAUAGGUUCAAGAAAAAAAUAUAGUCAUGCCAAACCAAUAAAGUAUCUAAAAGAAGCCAUAACUUGUCAUCCAAUCGUCAGAUAAAUCUCAAAUUUUUACUUAGAUUCCCAAAGCCCAUCUCUAUGGAGGAGCUCUUUGGCAAUCCAUCCUCUAAAUGGAUUUCCUCAAAUUAAGAUGAGAAGAUCCGGCUUAAGCCAAUUUUUUUGUUGUUUUUUUUUUUUUUCAAAAUUUUAUGUUUUAUCUCGGAUUUUCCAUUAUUUUUCAAAUUAAAGAAACCGAGAUAAAAUACCCUGAAUCUUCUUUCAUAAUUUGCUUUCGAGAAGGUGUAGUGUUUUUGCUACUUUUACUUUUGGACCUGACUUGAUUCCUGACCGGUAGAAACAGCAUUAGUCCAAAAGCAGGGAAGCUUUUGUUUUCUUUAAUCACAUGAUCAGAUAUUCUCAUUUAUGCCCAGCACAAAUUCAUAGAAGUGGCUCUAAUGAUUGGCUGACAACAGUUGUUAAUGAGCAGUGUUUGCGUCCCUUAUUUUUCAGUUUACUAAGUAUUUAGAACAUUCAAUUCCAAUCCAAAGUCGAUAAUAAUAAACUCUUGGUGAUGGUUUUGUUAUCGAAAGUGAUCGGACAUCGGACGACAAAAAAACCAGUAAAAUUUCUUGAACACAUCCAAAUCUAACAGUUUUUACUUUUUUUGUGUUUAAAUAUGAUAUUAAUAAACUAUUGAUGAUAAUCUUUUUUUCAUUUUAUGAUGUUUUUAUCGUAGUAGUGAUAAGAUGAAGAAAAGCUAUUGAUUUUUCUCUCAGCAAUGGUUUGUUUUAUCGUACACAAAUGUUGGGUGCUUUUAUUUACAAAAAGGAGUACUGUCUAACAAUAUUCAUUCCACAGCUGUUGUCAACCAAACCUUCCCGAUCUAUAUAAAGGUUGGUUUGGCCUCACACAUAUUAGCCAAGCAAGUAAACCAGCUCGACCUAUAUACAGCUACUUGUCUUGUGUAUUGACUGACAAAUUGUAGUUAACAUGGCACGUCAGGCAGACCGUCUUGCUAAGAUUGGGCUGGAGGGCUUUGCAGCCAGAGAUGAGCACUUCGGCCGGGCCAAGAGGCGGCCACCAGUGCUGAAGGUUCCCUAUGCUCAUCCGACAUAUUACUAUGCAAACCAAAUUCCUGCAACAGAAGUUAUCGACACCAACGAGGCAGCUCAACGCUACAAGGGGAGGGUUUAUCUCGAUUAUCCUAAGGGGAAACCAGUUCCGUUUUAAAGACCUAGUGAUUAAUCACUUAGCUUUCUUGUAUGCAUAACCUCCUCCAGUUGUGUUACCUUUAGUCCUGUACGAUAUUCUCCCUCUGCUAAACGUAUACGAGGAGAGGUUGCUAGAACUCGAGUCAGGAGCUUCUUGUUACUUCUUCAAAUAAACUUUCUGUGAUUUAUAUAUCAUUUUCUAUUUGUAUGUAUUGUCAUAAUUAUCACCUCUUACUUAGCAUGGAAUUGAAAGAUACAAUAUGCUCUUGAAAUGCUUUGAAGCUCUUCAAGGUGUGAUUUCACCGACUAAGUUGGAACUGUACAGAGCUCAAUGAUGAGCCGUAGGAGGCGUCUCUGAUUGUUGCACUGUAAGCAUGAGUGUACGUAUGAAUAUAACCAGCAGAUCCGCAAAGCACAAGUGAUGACAAGCUUCUUAACACGGCUACAUUUAACAGUUUUACCAACGAAAUUUUUUGUCGGUAUUUACUCUACCAUUCCGUCAGCAUGAAUUUUACCGACUGAUUUACGGACGGAAACAGUCGGUCGAUAAAUUCCUCUUGUCAGUAAUUUUAUUAAUGUCGGUAAAAAAAAACCGAUGGUUUUACAGACAGAAAAUGCAAGCCAAUUUUUUUUCCACUGGAAUAUAAAGACAGAAUUAUUUCUUCGGUGAUUGACAGUGGCAUAUGGAGUAAUUUUAUUCCAAACCCUCUAUAAAAUACCGAAGGAAUUAUUCCAUCGGUGAUGUAACAGUUGAAAUGGCAUAUGCAGUAAUUAUUUUUCAACUCUCUGGAAUAUAACGACCAACAAAGUUUGUCGGUAACUCUGUCCGUAAUAAUUAAAAAAUAUAUUUUAUACAAAAUUGUAUAAAAUUCAAGUAUGUGAAAAUAAAUUACCUAUGCUCAUCCGACAUAUUACUAUGCAAACCAAAUUCCUGCAACAGAAGUUAUCGACAGCAACGAGGCAGCUCAACGCUACAAGGGGAGGGUUUAUCUCGAUUAUCCUAAGGGGAAACCAGUUCCGUUUUAAAGACCUAGUGAUUAAUCACUUAGCUUUCUUGUAUGCAUAACCUCCUCUAGUUGUGUUACCUUUAGUCCUGUACGAUAUUCUCCCUCUGCUAAACGUAGACGAGGAGAGGUUGCUAGAACUCGAGUCCGGAGCUUCUUCUUGCUUCAUCAAAUAAAAUUUCUGUGAUUUAUAUAUUAUAAUUUUCUAUUUGGCUGGUCAAGUAUGCAUUGUCAUAAAUAUCACUCUGCUUCCCUGAUUAUUACCUUAUUCACCUAUUACUUAGCAUGAAAUAUUGAAAGAUUAAUGCAGUCGGAAGCACAACAAUAUAGCUGCAAGCAUAGAAAGACAAAAGAUAAACUGAAAUAAUGUUAAAACACUGAGAAUCCUAAAACCUUAUUUCUAAAUUAUUAAUUUGAUUAAGUUUACCUUCUAAAGAGGUUUACAAUCUCUUUCAUAGACUAGAAAAAUAGGCCAAGAUUCGAAACAAAAUCAGAAUCCCAAAACAUAACGGAAAAUAACAUAAAAUUUAAAAAUAAACAAUAAAUCUGCGAAAAUUAAGGAAAAAUAACAAAAUUAUCCCAAAUAAUAACUAAUUAGCCUACUUUAUGGAGAUACAAUGCUCUGAUAACUAUUGAGUUGUUUUUAAUGGGAAAACGGUUUGUAGAAUCUUCUAUAAAAAUUUAAACCUGAUUUAACGGUUAGAAUAUCUCCUGUUAUCAUUAUUUUAGGCUAUUAUUCUGGUCUUGCGUGAUGAUGCUUUCUCUUGGCCUAAACAUCUUUCACUAGUACAUGAACAUAUCUGUUAGUAGUCCGUUUAGGGCAAACAAAUAAUUAAUUUGCUGUUCAAAUGCUUUGAAGCUCUUCAAGGUGUGAUUUCACUGAAUAAUUUCGAGUUUAGAAUUAUCACCUCAUUUUAGAAUUGUCCCGAGCACAAGGAUAAAAUGAUGAGCCAUGGGAAGCGUCUCCGAUAAAGAAAUAAUAAACGGAGUUCAAGGUAAAACAAUAGCUUAGAAAAAAAAAAGUAGAAAUUUACACGAUAUCUAAGAAUAUCAGCGAUCAUGACCAUGAUUGGAUCAUUUCUGAGUUCUACAACCAAAAUUUCCUUCACAUCUCUUUAACUAAGCUGAUAGUCGAUGAAGAUUUAAGGAAAAACAUGAUUCCCAAUCCGAGCCAUAUGAGCAAGUGUAUCUAGUAAAAAUAUCUUAUCUCCCAUGAAAAUCAUAUUAGUAAGCCUCCCUCUGAAGCAUUGCUUUACACAUAUCUUUUACAGAAAAAAGAGAAAAAUGGGAAAUGCUCCGAGUUAUACCUUUUCUUGAUCUUUCCCAAUCCUUCAUUAUAAAUGGGACCCAUCAAAAACAUGAGAUGUGCUUUAACUUCCUCCAUAUUUCAUCUUAGCCUAGAAGGAUAAACAAGAAUAUUAUUGCUUCUGAAACAUAACGAUUGCAAGCAUCGCCUUUCGGUGAACUUUAGAUGACAUGAAACUGCCACAAAUUGGGUCCUAUCCGAGAGAGUUUUCUUUUUCUGCUCUGUUAUCACACAUAUACAACUGAAAUCUUUAAGUCCUCUUUAGGGUAUCCCUGAAAGAAAAUGAUCUAUCAUGCAUGGAAAGUCCUGAGGAAUCUGAGGCAUCACUACAUGAAAUUCAACCAACGGAAUUGCCGACAAACUGUUUCUUUCGGUAUUUUGCGGUGAUAUUUACCGACCGAAUUACUUCCCUUGCUAAAACCGUCGGUAUAUAUCGAGUGAAUCCCAGAUAGAAUAUAAAGAAUUUUAAAAAACAAAGCAGUGCAAUGACGUGGAAGUUUUGGUGGAUGAUGUUACUGAUGGAAUUACAGAGUGAUUCAAACUGGGAUGUUCGUACAGUGACGUGUUUACUUCACCGACAGAAUGGCCGAUGGAUUUACAAACAAAAAUAUUAUGUCGGUAAUUCCAUCGAUAAUAGUUAAUAUAUUGAAUGUUUUUUUAGUGUUUACUUGUUUUAUUACUUUUCUCAAACAAACAUGUAGUAUGGAUUUAUAAUUUUGUACUUGGUAUGGUUUGUUUUAGAUUUUGUAAAAUUAUAUUUGUUUGUAAAUUGUUGAAAUUUAUGUCGAAUUACCGACUUAGGUGUGUUGUGAUGAAAUAAAUAAUGACUUGUUUGAUGGGUCCGUUUUAAUUUUUGUCAAUUUUAUUGCCGAGUUGUAAUUUCUGUAAAUUAAUGUGUCUAAAUUUGUAUGGACGUAGAUAAUUGAUAAUGAAUAUUUAAGAGAAGUUUGAAAGUAAGUUGGAAAUCUUGAGCUAAACCAAUAUUUUUGCAAAUUUAUUUGCUUGACGUAGUUAAUUAAUACAUGUUGUCAUCAUUAUUUUAUAGAGGUUUGAUAGAAGUCAUGGAUGAUCAUUCAUGGAUGUAUCGAGAUUCACCUUAAGAAUUGCGGAGGAUGGAUUAUUAUAAUAGGGUUCAGAGUUUUAUUAAUUUCGCAACAUCUAUUUCGAGAAAUUUUAGUGGAGACGGUAUUAAGUGUCCAUACAGGAGGUGUAAAAAUAAAAAGUUUUUGCAUCCAGAUGUUGUAACGAUGUAUCUUCUACACAAAGGGUUCAUGGAGGAUUACUUGUGUUGGUAUGCACACAAAGAAUUAUUUGUUCGUAACAAGAGCAUGGUAGAAAGGAUGGUUGGGUCAACUUCUAGUGCUAGCAAUGUGCAUGGAGUUGUAAAUGACAAUAGUAAUCCUUACAGGAAUAUGGUUAUGGAUUCAAUGAGAAUGAAUCAAGAUAAUGCUAGUCAAUGUCCAAUUGUAGAAGAAGAUGCUAGUCAAUGUCCAAUUGUAGAAGAAGAACCUAAUGCAGACGCGGCCAGGUUUUUUGAUUUGUUGAAAGAUUCUGAUGAACCAUUAUGGGAUGGCUGCACAAAUCACUGUAAAUAAUCAGUUGUUGCAUAUGUGUUCACUAUCAAGUCAGAUUAUGGGUUGAGUGAGGCCGGUUAUGACAAAAUUAUCGAAUGGGCGAGAAGCAUUCUACUUGAAGGGAACAAGCUGAAAGAGAACUUCUAUGCUACUAAGUCCAUGAUGAAACCCCUCGGUUUAGGAUACUAGAAAAUUGACAUGUGUCCAAACUUUUGCAUGAUGUACUACCUUGAAAAUGCUGAGCUAACCGAGUGCAUGGCAUGAGAGCAUUCCCGUUACAAAUCCAGAACUGGCAUGGGAAAGACUCUUAUGGCAUAUAAAAAACUUAGAUACUUCCCAAUCACGCCUAGACUGUAGAGGUUAUUCAUGUCACCAAAGACUACUGAGCACAUGAUAUAGCACCAAUCACUUGAUGCAGUGGAUGGAGUGAUAGUGCAUCCUUCUGACGGUGAAGCAUGGAAACACUUUAACAGUGUGCAUUCUCAUUUUUCAGCUGAAUCAAGGAACGUGCAUCUUGGGUUAUGUACAGAUGAAUUCAACCCAUUCAGGUCAUUUGUUGAUCCUUAUUCUUGUUGGCCGAUUAUACUCACGGUUUACAACUUACCACUCUUAUGGCAACAGUUGCUCCUUCUUCACAAUACUUAUGGAACAAAGACUUGUUAAGUGCUUGACUAACGGACUGUUUUUCUCAAAGCUUUUAGUUUGGUUGACCUGAAACUUUGUUUUCGUAGCAAUCCCCAUCAACGGAAACUACGAUCAAACUGUGUACAAUUUGGUUAUCUUGAAAUCGCAAUCUAGUGAUUUGCUUAAUCCAAAACCAAAAUCAAUGCCAAAGUUCGGUCAACCUGAGAUCCCAAUUUGGCGAUCCGCUUUAACUAGAACUAAAAUAUGAAAAGUAGCUCGGUAACCUGAAAUCCCAAUCUGGCGAUUCACUUUAACCAGAACCUUGGUCUUUGUCGUUAAGUUGGUCAACCUAAAAUCCCAAUACGACGAUUCUCUUUAAUAAGAACCAAAAUGUCGCCUUUAGCUUAGUUAAUCUGAAAUCUCAAUCUAGAGACCCCCUUUAACCAAAACCUUGGUCUUUAUCCUUAGCUCGGUCAACCUGAGAUCCCAAUCUAGUGAUUUCCUUUAACCAAAACCAAAAUGUCACCUUAAGCUUGGUUAACCUGAAAUCUCAAUCUACAGAUCCCCUUUAAUCAGAACCUUGAUCUUUGUCUUUAGCUCAGUCAACUUGAGAUCCUAAUCUAGCUAUUCCCUUUAAUUAGAACAAAAAUGUCACCUUCAGCAUGGUUAACCUGAAAUCUCAAUCUAGAGACCCCCUUUAACCAGAACCUUGGUCUUUGUCUUCAGUUCGGCAAACCUAAAAUCCCAAUCUGAUGAUUCGUUUUAACCAGAACCAAAAUGUUGCCUUAAGCUUGGUUAACCUAAAAUCUCAAUAUAGAGACCCCCUUUAACUAAAACCUUGGUCUUUGUCUUUAGCUCAUUCAACCUGAGAUCCCAAUCCGACAAUCCUAUUUAACUAGAACCAAAAUGUUUCUUUCAGUUUGGUUAACCUGAAAUCUCAAUCGAGUGACUCCCUUUAAUCAAGCGAUUCCCUUUAACUAAAACCAAAAUGUUGCCUUCAACUCGGUUAACCUAAAAUCUCAAUUUAGAGACCCCUCUUUAACUAGAACCUUAGUCUUUUUUUUUUAGCUCGGUCAACUUGAGAUCCCAAUCUUAUGAUCCCAUUUAACAAGAACCAAAAUAUUGCCUUCAACUCGGUUAACCUAAAAUCUCAAUUUAGGGAACUCUCUUUAACUAGAACCUUAGUCUUUUUCUUUAGCUCGGUCAACUUGAGAUUCCAAUCCUACGAAUCUUGAAACAUCAUCCCCUUCUUAGUCCUACUUUGAUUUGCCAAAAAAAUGGAAAAGAAUGAAUGAUAUGGUGGAGAACUAGACCGGUCUUUACCAUUGGCUAGAACCAACCAUAGGCUGCUUAGAAAGCAACCUUCAACACCUAAAAACAAACCACCACAUAACAACCCUGCAAUUAUCAACAACAACAUCUAGUUCUAGCUACCUAGUCUAUGUCAAAGAAUAGAAUCUGAGGCAACUUUUUGACCAAAAUUCCAUUCUCUAUUAUUCCUUCAAUAUUGGGGUUUAAUGCAAGCAACUUGUUUAUUCGGAUUUGAGAUGUAAAUAGAUUUUAAUUUUGUUAGGAUGAGGUGGUCAGGUUGCGUCACAUUGAUUAUGUCAUGAAGUUAACUAGAGUAAGAAAUAAAGAUAUCAAGUUUCGGAGAGAAUCAAGAUCAGUUAAAGCAAAAAAAAAAAAAAACAGAUUAUGAAAAUAAAUUGGAAACGAAAAGUUUAGUUAUAAGGAAUUAGAUUCACAAACAAAUUUAAGUCUCAUCAAUUCUAGGAAACAAGUUGGAAGGAAUCAAUUUUACAAAAAUUGACCUUCGCACUAGAGAGAACCUUCGAGCCACUUCAAAUGUACUGAAGGCCAUUUGUUUGCCAUAUGUGCUAAUUAAGAACAUAAUUCUAUUCUUUUGUGAGUUAAUAUUCUGUAAAAUAAGCUUGGAAUAGCUUGCGGGGGCUUGGCUCAGAGAUCAUUGAGUUUUUACUACAAAUUGCCUUUUAAUUUUUUUCCACCUGUAAUUGGAUUCGAUAAGUUUCCCUUUUGUUUACAUAUGAAGAACAAACAUUGCUUGAGGUUAUCCAAUGCCGAGAUCAAGGUCAGAUAAUACUAGCGAACCCCUAAUCAGGAUUAAGAAGCAAAAAAAAUGUUAAGUGCAGCUUAUCCAAUGCCGAGACCAAGGUCAGAUAAUAUCCUGAUUGUGCUUAUUGCCAUUAAUUAGAAACUGCAAUAUCGUCACAUAAUUAAACUGAGAUUAUUCUGAUUAGAGAACAGAAGGAAUCUUCUUUCAUAAUUGGCUUUUGCGAAGGUUUAGUGUUUUUGCUGCUACUGCUUUUGGACCUGACUUGAUUCCUGAUCGGUCGAAAAAGCAUUAGUCCAAAAGCAGGGAAGCUUUUGUUUUCUUUAAUCACAUGAUCAGAUAUUAUAAUUUAUGCCCAACACAAAUUCAUAAAAGUGGCUCUAAGAUUGGCUGACAACAGUUGUUAAUGAGCAGUGUUUGCAUCCCUUAUUUUUCAGUUUACUAAGUAUUUAGAACAUUCAAUUCCAAUCCAAAGUCGAUAAUAAUAAACUCUUGGUAAUGGUUUUGUCAUCGAUGGUGAUCGGACGACAAAAAAACCAGUAAAAUUGUUUUAUAUAAAAAGUUUAUUAAGUAUUGAAAACAUCCAAAUCUAACAUGUUUUACUUUUUUGUGUUUAAAUAUGAUAUUAAUAAACUUUUGGUGAUAUUUUUUUUUUCAUUUUGUGAUGCUUUUAUCGUCAGUAGUGAUAAGAUGAAGAAAAGCUAUUGAUUUUUCUCUCAGCAAUGGUUUGUUUUAUCGUACACAAAUGUUGGGUGCUUUUAUUUACAAAAAGGAGUACUGUCUACCAUUAUUCAUUCCACAGCUGUUGUCAACCAAACCUUUCCUUUCUAUAUAAAGGUGGCUUGGCCUCCUACAUAUUAGCCAAAGCAAGAAAACCAACAAAACCUAUAAACAGCUACUUGUCUUUGUGUGUUGAUUAAUUGUAGUUAACAUGGCACGUCAGGCAGAUCGUCUUGUUAAGAUUGGGCAGGAGGGUUUUGCAACCAUUGAUGAGCACUUCGGCCGGGCCAAGAGGCGGCCACCAGUUAUGAAGGUUCCCUAUGCUCAUCCCACAUAUUACUAUGCAACAGAAGUUAUCGACAGCAACGAGGCAGCUCAACGCUACAAGGGGAGGGUUUAUGUCGAUUACCCUAAGGGUAAACCAGUUCCGUUUUAAAGACCUAUUGAUUAAUCACUUAGCUUUCUUGUAUGCAUAACCUCCUCCAGUUGUGUUACCUUUAGUCCUGUACGAUAUUCUCCCUCUGCUAAACGUAGACGAGGAGAGGUUGCUAGAACUCGAGUCAGGAGCUUCUUCUUACUUCUUCAAAUAAACUUUCUGUGAUUUAUAUAUCAUUUUCUAUUUGUAUGUAUUGUCAUAAUUAUCUUUCUUACUUCCUCAUUAUCAC
Molecule: long non-coding RNA, 68880 nt
Filed under: Populus trichocarpa (black cottonwood)
Lineage: Eukaryota; Viridiplantae; Streptophyta; Magnoliopsida; Malpighiales; Salicaceae
Description: long non-coding RNA (PTRI_LNC004369)
Rfam family: MIR480 microRNA precursor family (bases 7542-7705)
Source: RNAcentral